CAUCAAAAAAGGUACAAAACGUUUGCGAUGAUGGAUGCAUCAAACACGGUUCAGAUUUUGGUUGCAUGUGCGAUGCAGGGCAUAUGGUUCAGUUAAAUUAACUGUUUGCGAUGAGGAGGAACAAAAGAAAUGGGCUGCCAGAUGAAUGUGUGUCGAUAUACAGCAUGCGCUUCACUCGGAUGAACUGUUUGUGAUUAAGCAACACAAAAAGAAACAAUCAGCCAGAUCAAGGUGUGUGCAAUAUACGCAUGCGUUUCACUCGGAUGAAUUGUUUGCGUUAAGACAAGAGAACAGAAACGGUUCAAUAUAACAAGAUGUGUGUGAUACGCGGCAAACAGGUCUGUAAUCAGAAAUAUGUGCAAAGACCGAUAAUAACAUAGACGAUUGCUUCUAAUAAGACGUAUGUGAUAUGCGUUUCACAAAAAGAAACAGUCAGCCAAAUCAAGGUGUGUGCAAUAUACGCAUGCGUUUCACUCGGAUGAAUUGUUUGCGUUGAGACAAGAGAACAGAAAUGGUUCAAUAUAACAAGAUGUGUGUGAUACGCGGCAAACAGGUCUGUAAUCAGAAAUGUGUGCAAAGACCGAUAAUAACACAGACAAUUGCUUCUAAUAAGACGUAUGUGAUAUGCUCAGUCUACACAACAUCUAUUGGCCACUGGGGGGCGGACGGUCAUCCGGAUACGCCAUAAGGAUGCGAAGAGGCAUCCUAUAUUAGCAAGGACUAGUUGUUCCACCAGUAGCUCAUGUAAGAGAACUCUCAAGUUAAGUGUGCUCGGGCUAAAUUAAAUGACUGACAUGACCCAUCCCAUGAGUUAAUUUAACCUCAAGGUCCUUGUUUUUAAUUUUAAUUUUAUUUUUAACACAUGUUAAAGAAGGUCUACCACAUUCCUUUUUGACAAUGUGUAUACGUGGCAUACAGUUGGUCCAUCCGAUCUGUUUGUGAUGGAAUAAGCUGUGUGUGUUGUGAGCAAACGCUUGCUAGUGUACAACCAUUUGCGAUUGAUGAAUUCAUCACCCACGGGUUCCCUAAUGUGGUUCAUGUUCAUCUCAUCAUCAUCUACUUCUUGUGCUAGCUCGAUGUUCCUUAUAUGCUAAGUUUCCAUUAACUGAUGGAGUUUUACGAACACGCCACCAUUUCCCGCCAUUUCCUCACCUGUUCCUGCCACCCAGCGAUAUUGCGCAUAAACCUAGGCGCGGCGUGACGCACGGAGGCAACAAGCACAUCUUGUAGAACAUCCACAUUUUCCAAGCAUGCCAACCCAUCAAAGCGCCGCCUCUGCCAUCAACCUCGUAGAUGAGGAAAACCAGAAGGCCCCAUGACCUGUCGAGGCCGCGGCGCUUCUUGGCAACGUGAUGGAUGACGCCGUGAUGUGCGUCAUCACCAGGGUUGAGCAGACCCUUGGUGCAUGGCGCUUCAGCACCGCGGAUCAAGAUAGGCAUGUCAGCACCGAGAACCUGCAGCUCGCCACACAACAUGAUCGAUGGCGCGCCGCAGAGCAAGCUAGGCGCGUUCGCGCCAAUAGGCUGUGGCUCGCCGCACGGGGAGACCGUUGAAGCACCGCAGAGCGAGAGGCGUGGCGUGCCGUACAGCAAGAGCGGAUCCAUCGGCGCUUGCCUGCUGUCGACAGGGUGUCGUAGCUGGGUACACAUCUCCUCAGUACCCCCAUUCCUCGCCAAGAGUGGGCACAGGCCCUCUGCACCGUACUUGCACCAAAGGCCGGCCGCUCCGUGCUUGCACCGGACGCCCGCCGCGUCGUUCGCAUGGGUCGCGUCGUUCGCCUUGUCCGCGACCCACUCGAUGCCAACGCGCUGGUCGGUAGGCUCGACCGCCUCCUUGGCCCAGGUGUCCACCUGGGCGCAGUAGACGAACAUGGCCAUCGCAUUCUUGAGGUGGUGAUCUCUGAUGAAAUAGCCAACUUGGAGCUCGAGAUCACGCUCCAGAUGUACCGCGAGCAUGUCGACUUCUUGGACGAACGCCUGCACAAGUUCAGGUAGAGCCAAGAGCUACCAUAGGCAAGGGCUGCUGGUCAUGGUCUCAUGGACGCGUUUUAUUUUGUUGAGUCAUUUCAACGUGGAUAGAUAUGUAUUCACAGCAAUCAUAGUAUUGCUCUGUUUGUUGCUCUAUUUCAAUGUGUGUACUCUGUUUUCCGUUCUUAUAUUUCCGUUAUGUAUAUGUGGAUACUAAAAUUAGUAUACAAAGACAGAUAGGAAAUGGAAUUCAUAAUAUAUAUAAUAUUAGUUGUUCAUCAGUUCAUCACAGAACAUAUAUAAUAUCAUAACAUAUACGUGAUGAUACUUAACUACUAGGUACAAUGCAUAAAAUUGAAAAUGAACAAUACUAGAACUAAUAAUCCCUCUAGGGGCCAGUAUUUCGGCAGCCCCUCGCUAGCAGCUCCCUGGUAUGCGGCGUCUUCCUAGCGCGGAGGCGGUCCUCUGCCUCCUCCGCCUUGCAGCGCUUGACGUACCAAUCUGCCUCUUGCAGGAGGACUAGCACGAACGAUCUUGCCAUUUCGUUUGGCGCCCACCGGAGCUCCUCGUCAGUAGCAUGUUGGAGCUUAUCGGCCCAGCUCACGCAGCGACGAGGCGCCUAGCGCCUUUGGCCAUCCUCGCGAAGUACACGUCUUCGUACACCUCCUCCGCACGACGACGCGCCCGCCCCCAAAGCUCCGCCGCCUCCCUUUUCCAGGCGGCAUCACGGGCUUCACAGGCCGCCUGGUACCUGGCAUCCUCCUCCACCAUCUCCUUCUUGAAAGCCACUUACCUGGCUUUCUCAGUCGGCGGCAGCGACUUCCAAAGAUAAAGAUCGUAUUGUCCCCAAAACCAAUCCAAAGUUGGGGAGUCCGGCACAACCUCGUCUGGCGGCGCGUAGGGAUCCUCAUCGCUGCUCUUCGAGUGAGGUCCUCAGGGGCGGCGACUCCUCGUCGGCGCAUGGACAGACCGGCGGCACCAUGGCAGAAAUUUGAGAGAGAGACAGAGGGAGAGAGAGAGGAUGAGCAAGGGGAGGAUGUAGAUGAGAAUGUGAUACGUCUCCAACGUGUCUAUUUUUUCUCACGCUUUUCCUCUUGUUUUGGACUCUAAUUUGCAUGAUUUGAAUGAAAGUAACCUCGGACUGACGUUGUUUUCAGCAGAACUACCAUGGUGUUGUUUUUGUGCAGAAAUAAAAGUUCUCGAAAUGGAACAAAACUUUGCGAGGAUUUUUUAUAUCAAUAAUAAGAAUUUCUGGAGCCAAGACCUGCCGGAGAGGGGCACCUGGGUGGGCACAACCCACCAGGGCAUUCCCCCCUCUCCUGGCGCGCCCAGGUGGGUUGUACCCACCUGGUGGCCCCACAAACGACUCCCUGAUACUAUAAAAUCACAUAUUUCCAGAAAAAAUUAGGGAGAUAGAGUUAUUGCAAUCCACGAGACAGAGCCGUCGCCAAGCCCCAUUCUUCCUCGAAAGGGAAGAUGUGGAGUCCGUUUGGGGCUCCAAAGAGGUUGAUCUUCGUUAUUCGUCAUCACCAACCCAUCUCCAUCGCCAAUUCCAUGAUGCUCCCCACUGGGAGUGAGUAAUUACUUCAUAGGCUCGCUGGUCGGUGAGGAGUUGGAUGAUAUUCAUCAUGUAAUCGAGUUAGCUUUGUUAGGGCAUGAUCCCUAGUAUCCACUAUGUUCUUAGAUUGAUGUUGCUAUGACUUUGCUAUGCUUAAUGCUUGUCACUUCGGGCCCAGGUGCCAUGAACUCAGAUCUGAACCGUUUAUGAAUUCAUCAUUAUAUCCAUGUUUUAGAUCCGAUCUUGCAAGUUAUAGUCACCUACUAUGGUUAUGAUCCGACAAACCCGGAGUGACAACAACCGAGCCCACUCUCGAGGAUGACCGUAGUUGAGGAGUUCAUGUAUUCACUAUGUGUUAAUGCUUUGUUCCGGUUCUCUAUUAAAAGGAGGCAUUAAUAUCCCUUAGUUUCCAAUAUCGACAUCACUGCCACGGGAGGGUAGAACAAAAGAUGUCACGCAAGUUCUUUUAAUAAAGCACGUAUGACUAUUUACGGAAUACAUGCCUACAUUAUAUCGAUGAACUGGAGCUAGUGCCGUAUCGCCAUAGGUUAUAACUGUCACAUGAUGAAUAUCAUCCAAUGAGUCACCGAUCCAAUGCCUAGGAAUUUAUCUUAUAUUCUUCUUUCUAAGUUACUACUAAUGCUACUGCCAUCGUUACUGCUACAAUAUCACUGCUAUCACUGUUACUGUUACCAUUACUACUACUGCUAUCAUCAAAACUAUCAUAUUCCUGUGCUACAGAUCACUUUGUUGAAGAUAAUUAAUCUCCAGGUGUGGUUGAAUUGACAACUCAGUUGCUAAUACCUUCAAUUAUUCUUUGGCUAUCCUUGUGUCGAAUCUAUAAAUUUGGGUUGAAUACUCUACCCUCGAAAACUGUUGCGAUCCCCUAUACUUGUGUGUUAUCAAGACCUUUUUCUGGCGCCGUUGCCGGGGAGCAUAGCUAUAUUUGUUAAUUCACUUGGGAUUAUUAUCAAUUUAUCACUAUGAAGAAUCUGAAGGAUCCAAAGACUAAGAUAUUUCCCUCAAGUACAAGGGGAGGUAAGAAACUAUCCAGUUCUGCUUUAGAUUCACCUUCUGUUAUGAGUAAACUUGCAACACCACCACCACAUGCUAUUAAUUGUGAUAUGUCGCAAGUUAUUGAUGAUGUUACUUCCACUAUGAAUAAUGCUUAUGAUGAUGCUAGUACCAUGCCCGAUAAUGAUGAUGUGCCACUUGGUGAAUUUCUUGAUGAACAAAUUGCUAGAGUAAUACAACAUGAUGUUGUUGAAUCUGAUGAUGAGCUUGAAACUGAAACUCCUGAAACACUUGCUAGAGCUAGCCCUCCUAGAUAUGAAUUGCCUAAGGUACCGGAAGGCUAUAUUAUGAGUGAAGAGGAAAUUAGAGAUAUUCUUGCUUGUAAGGAUAUAGAUGAUCUAGAGAAAUUAUACUAUGCAAGUAUAAAGAAAAAUCUUUGAAUGCUAGAAUGAAAUGUGAUCCUUAGUUUGCUACUUCGCCUAUCUUUAUUGAUGAUAAGGAUAACAAAUUCUCUGUCGACCUAGAGUUAAUUACUUUGGUUGAAUACGAUCCUUUCCAUGGUUAUGAAACUGAAACUGUUGUGGCACAUCUUACUAAGUCGAAUGAUAUAGCCACCCUUUUUACUCAUGAUGAGAAAACUCGAUACUACUUUAUUCUCAAAUUAUUUCCUUUCUCAUUAAAGGGUGAUGCUAAAUCUUGGUACAAUACUCUUGCUCCUGGUUGUGUGCGUAAUCCCCAAGAUAUGAUUUACUACUUCUCUGAAAAAUAUUUUCCUGCUCAUAAGAAACAAGUUGCCUUACAGGAAAUAUUUAACUUUGUUCAAACUAAAGAAGAGAGUCUCCCACAAGCUUGGGGGAGGCUUUGCCAGUUACUUAAUGCUUUGACUGAUCAUCCUCUUAAGAAAAAUGAAAUACUUGAUAUCUUCUAUAAUGGACUAACCGAUGCUUCUGUGGACUUCCUAGAUAGUAGUACUGGUUGUGUUUUCAGGGAACGAACUAUUGCUCAAGCUGAAGAAUUAUUGAAUAACAUAUUAAAAAAUUAUGAUGAUUGGACUAUUCCUGAACCAUCGCCUAAACCCACUCCGAAGAAGAGGGGUAUAUUAUAUCUCAGUCCUGAAGAUAUGCAAGAGGCAAAGAAAUCUAUGAAGGAAAAAUGUAUUAAAGUUGAGGAUGUUAAAAAUUUACCUCCUAUUGAAGAAAUACAUGGGCUUGAUACACCACCACUUCCUAAGGAGGUAGAGGUAAAUUCUCAUAUGAAGUUCAAUGAAAAUGAUAAUCCUCACAAUAUGCAUCCUAGCCAAUGCCUUUAUGAGUUUGAAAACUACAUUAGAAACCAAGACCACUUCAAUGCAAAUGUUAUGAAACAAUUGAAACAUAAUUCUGAUAUGCUUGCUCGCUUGAGUGACUUGUUAUUUAGAAUCUCAAAUGAUGUCAAAGGUGUUGGAAAACAUGCUUCUAUGGUUCAAACCUAGUUAGAACAAGUCGCUAAAUCACAAAGAGAAUUACUUGAUGAAAUGAAUCAUAAUAUACAUGACAUUGCUGUUAGAGUUGCAAAUAGAGGAGGUAAAAUGACUCAGGAACCACUUUAUCUUGAGGGACACCCAAAAAGAAUGUUACAAGAUUCGCAAAGAAAUAACAUAGUGCACCUAGUCCUUCUAAAAAGAAAAAGGAAAAUAAAAAUGAUAGGACUUUGCAUGCUUCUAGUGAACCUGAAAUAGACAAACCUCCUGAUAAUGAAAAUGAAACUUCUAUCUCUAAUGCUAAAACUCAAUCUGGUAAUGAACAUCCACCUAGUGAUAAUGAAAAAGAUAAUGAUGAGGUUCAUGAAAACGCUCAACCUAAUGAUAAAGAACCAGAUAAUGAUGUUGAGAUAGAACCACCUGUUGAUCUUAAUAACCCACAACCUAAGAAUAAAAGAUGUGAUAAAAAGAGACUUUGUUGCUAGAAAACACAGUAAAGAAAGAGAACUGUGGGUUCAAAAACCUAUGCCUUUUCCACCCAAGUCAACUAAGAAGAAUGAUGAUGAAGAAUUUGAACGCUUUGCUGAAAUGCUGAGGCCAAUCUUUUUGCGUACUCGUUUGACUGAUAUCCUUAAAAUGCCUCCUUAUGCAAAGUAAAUGAGAGAUAUCAUCACAAAUAAGAGAAAAAUACCGGAAGCUGGAAUCUCAACUAUGCUUCUAACUAUACUUUUAAUGAUGGAGUACCUAAAAAACUUGGAGAUCCGGGUAUACCAACUAUAGCUUGCUCUAUCAAAAGGAAUUAUGUGAAAACUGAUUCGUGUGAUUUAGGAGAUGGUGUUAGUGUUAUGCAUUUCUCUUUAUAUAAAAGACUUGACUUGAAUAAACUCACGCCUACUGAAAUAUCUUUGCAAAUGGCUGACAAACAACUGCCAUACCUAUCGGUAUCUGUGAGGAUGUGCCUGUUGUUGUUGCUAAUGUUACUAUUUUGACUGACUUUGUUAUACUUGAGAUGCCCUAGGAUGACAACAUGUCGAUUAUCCUUGGUAGACCCUUCUUGAAUACUGCAGGGGCUGUUAUUGGUUGCAAUAAAAGCAAGAUCACUUCUCAUAUUAAUGGUAAUGAGCAUACGGUGCACUUUCCGAAGAAACAAUUUCAAGUGAAUGGUAUUAAUGUUAUCGAAAAAUCUCCGACAAUCACUAUUGGAAGUUUUCAAAUACCUCUACCUACUGUCAAAAAGAAAUAUGAAAUGCUUAUUGUUGGGGAAAUGCAUAUCCCCAUUGAGGUAACUUAGUGAUUUACGAAAGUUCUUCGGUUUCAUGCUAAUCGAAAGUGCUUGUUAAUAAGACUUGAUCAACCUUAUUAAUGAAUCAUUUUUUAGCGGUAUGAAGUUGAUGAAUUUAGUAAGCACUACCUUCUGUCCUUACUUUUUGUUUCUUGUUUUUACUAGUUAAAUAAAAUAAAAUGUCAUGUUUUGUCUGUUUUCUGAAUUUCCCGUGCAAUAAAAAAAUGACCCAAAAAUAAAAGUUCUCAGAAUGCCCUGAAAGAUAAACAUGAAUUUUUCUGAAUACUACUGAAUUUUUGGUGCAAAUAAUACCAGAGGGAGGUGCACCAGGUGGGCACAACCCACCUGGGCGUGCCAGGACCCCCAGGCGCUCCCUGGUGGGUUCUGGUCCCCACUUGGGCCCCCUCACUUAUCUCUUUAGCCCACAUCAUCACUUACCUCCAGAAAAAAAAUUCUCCAUUGCUCUGUCUCUCCCGUGUUCUUGAGCUCAAACCCAUAGAUUUCAAUCUCUUUGCUCGAAGCUCCAUUUCCGAAACUAUUUCGGGGGAUUGUUGCUUGGUAUGUGACUCCACUGUUGUCCAAUUAGUUUUUGUUUUAGUGGUUUAUACUUUUAAUAAUUAGCUACUCUUGGUGCUACUGUAGAUGAGCUUACAUGUUGAAUUCUUAGUGUUCUAAGUAGUUUGAAUGCUUGCUAUGGCCUCUAUGUAUCCCUAUGAGUAGUUGCUACCAAUUUUGUGAAGUUUUGUUGUGAAAAUUUUGUGAACUAAAAAUUCAGAUUUUUGUUCCUAGGAAAAGUUGUACACGGACAUGAAUAUCUUCAGGAAGUUUGGCUCCAAGAAGAACUCAAGGGUGUUAUUGGGGAGUCUUCUGACAGUGAUCUCCACCCUCAUAGGUUAGCGGAAGUACGGUCGUGCGAAUGGCCACACACCCCAUUCCUACAAGAGGCUGGAAUUCUUGAGGAGUUCAUGCAAUAUAUUGCUAAUGCCGGCCUCACCGACUUCAUCAUAGAUGAGUGUGACCCGCACGAAAUCUUCACAGACAUCUUUGUUCAAAGUUUUACUUUCCUGCCUAGGAAUAAUCCUCCUGGAGUGAGUUUUGAUUUAUAUGCUGAAAACCAUCAGAUACCACUUACUGAAUUUUGUAACAUAUGCAUGAUCCCUUCUGAUGGGAGCUUGGCUGAGCCUAGGCCGGCCAAGUUUGAGGCCUUUAUCACACUUUGACGGUGGGUGAUGAGAGAGGAGUGACAGCCAUCACUGUCGCUGGCUUACAUUUUCCUGAUGUUCGUUACUUUGCACUUUUCAUUGCAAAAUGCUUGCUUGCUAGGGAGAAGGUGGGCGCACUUAGUUCACCAGACCUUGUUGUUUUACAUCGUGCAUUAGAGGGCAAUAACAAUUAUAGCUUGGCAGCUAUUGUGGCUCGUCGCCUCCAUCUUAAUAUAUCUCAGGGCAAAAUACAUGGUGGGAUUUAUGCUACUCGUUUGGCGGCUCACUUCGAGGUUGAGAUACGCCCUCAUGAUUACCCACUAACCAAAGUUUACCUCGACCGUGUAGCCAUGGAUCACCACCAUUUUACUGAUAUCGAAUCUCCUAACAUCCCUAUUCCGUAUAACCUGGUUUUUAGUGUAAGAACUCGUGAUAUUAUUUCGUUGCCUGCUCCUGCUUUGUUUGAUUCUGUUGCCAGGGUAGAUAUAGGAUUAUGCCUGCAGACAUCAUCGCCUACCGGAACGCUUAGGUUGCUGCAGAGGCAGCAUAGGAGGAGCCUCAGCAGUGGGAUGAGUGGAUGCCCGCUCCUCAGCACUCCUACUACCCUCCAGGCCACUAAUCGACUACCAAGUUAGGCCAAAAGCCUAAGCUUGGGGGAGUACGUGUUUCUCACCGGCAUUAUAUUCAUGUUCAUGCGUAUCAUUCCACUUGUCGGUGUUCACACUAUUUCAUUGUAUCAUCCAUGCUUAGAUUUAUUUUCUUGCUUUCUUCUUGUGUGUUUGAAGAUUUUCAAAAAAACCAAAGAAAUUAGUUGUAGUAAUUUACUUUCUAUGCAUGCUUAGUAGUAGUAUUAAAAAGAAAAUCCAAAAAGAUUUCCUUGUUCUUCUUUUGCUUGUUGGGAGCUUUCCCAUGUAAAUAGUUUUUCUCGUUUUUGCUUUUCCCUUUUAUUUUCCCGUUCUAGAAAAUCAAAAACUCCAAAAAUAUUUUAGUGUGUUUCUCGGAACUUCUUUUCUUUUUAUUCGAGUCUUACUAAGGAGAAGACCACGAUGAAAAUGUUGAGUGGCUCUCAUAUGAAUAAUUGUUGAACUAAUAAGAGCACAUUUUGCCUUGUCUUCUCCUGUUGAAUAAAAUGUCUUGCAGAUUCCAGCUUAGUCCAUGACACUCUUCCACAAUUAUUGUUUUCAUAUCAUUCGGUCGUGCAAGUGAAAAGCAAUAAUGACAAUAUUCGAUGAACUGGCCGUGGCAAAGAGAAACUGGUAUGAACUCGACUUGUUAUGUUUGUGUAAAUAUGUUUAACCUAGUAUCCAUGAUUCAGCCCAUUAUGAUUAAACAUGUUUGCAACGACAAUUAGAGAUUAUAGUUUCUCAUGCCAUGCAGAAGUAGCUGGGAGCCGAUAAUUAUUAAUCUUGGAUAUCAACAUAGCGUUAAAAUGAUUGUGAUGUAGUAUGAUGAUAUGGUAUCCUCCUCUGAUUGUUUGAGUGGCUUGACUUGGCACAUGUUCAUGCAUGUAGUUGAAUCAAAACCAACAUAGCCUCUAUGAUAUUUAUGUUCAUGGUGUCCAUAUCCUACUCAUGCUAGUGUCCAAUGUUACUUAUGCAUAAUGCAUGGUUAUGAUCGUUGUUGCUCUCUAGCUGGCCGCUUCUCAAUCUAAAUUGCUAGCCUUCGCCUGUACUAAGUGGGAACUCUGCUUGUACAUCAAAAACCUUGAACCCAAAGUUAUUCUAGAUGAGUACACCAUACCUACCUAUAUGCAGUAUUAACCUUCCGUCCUAAGUAAAUUUGCAUGUGUCACCUCUAAAAACUUCUAAAAUUUAUCCUUUUUGUGUGCCUGGAUCGUAUGUGGAACGACAGGAGGUGGUCGGUAUCUUCCAUGCUAAGAGGCUUAUUCUCAGGUCGAGUGUUUAUUCACUAGCCAUCACAUGAGGAAAUGGGUGGUAAUAGGGAUGCCCAGUCCCAAACUGCAAACAUAAAAAAGAGUUCAUCUCUGAAAUAAUCAAACAAAAACUCCCAAUGGAGUCAAAACCUUUACUUUUACCGCUUGGGAACCGCCACUAGCGUGCUUAGCAUGGAAGAUGUUGAUAACUGAUGGUCGUGAAGUGAAUAAGAAGGGUGCAUGUCUCAAAAUAUUAUUUAUCUCUGUUUGGAAAAUUGAUCUCUGGCACCUCUGCAAAUCACUUCUUCCCUCCGCGAAGGGACUAUCUAUUUACUUUUAUGUUGUGUCACCACCUUCUAAAACAAGCACCAGAAACUGAGUAGAGCACAGCUGUCAUGAUUUAUGCAUUAUGUGUAGCUAAUGUUGGGUGCAUCAUGACUGGGUCUUUUCUACCAUGAAUUACAAUGUUUAGUCGUUGGUUGAACUUUGGAGGUGCUCUGCAUUUAUGUUUUGCGGUCUCAGAAAGGGCUAGCGAGAUACCAUUAUUGUCAUAUUAUAUCAUGGUUGUUUUGACAACGUGUUGCUGGUUGAGAUAUUUUAUUAUUGCUCGCUAGCUGAUUAUGUCAUUGAUAUGAGUCAUUAUAAUCUUUAAAUGUUAUUGUUGACAUUGUUAGUUAUAAUGUUGGCUGAAAACUAGGGUGUUAUUUAAGCUUAUUUAUGCAAACAAGAGCAAAAGAUUUCAUAAAAAAAAUUCUUUCUCACUUUCAGUUUAUCAACUGAAUUGCUUGAGGACAAGCAAAGGUUUAAGCUUGGGGGAGUUGAUACGUCUCCAACGUUUCUACUUUUGCGCACGCUCUUCAUCUUGUUUUGGACUCUAAUUUGCAUGAUUUGAAUGAAAUUAACCUCGGACUGACGCUGUUUUCAGCAGAACUACCAUGGUGUUCUUUUUGUCCAGAAAUAAAAGUUCUCGGAAUGGAACGAAACUUUGCGAGGAUUUUUUAUAUCAAUAAUAAGAAAUUCUAGAGACAAGACAUGCCGAAGAGGGGCACUUGGGUGGGCACAACCCACCAGGGAGAGCUCCCCUCUCCUAGAGCACCCAGGUGGGUUGUACCCACCUGGUGGCCCCGCAGACGACCCCCCUGAUACUAUAAAAUCACAUAUUUCUAGAAAAAAAAUGAGAGAUAAAGAAUUAUCACGAUACACGAGAUGGAGCCGCCGCUAAGCCCUGUUCUUCCUCGGGCAGGAAGAUCUGGAGUCCGUUUGAGGCUCCAGAGAGGGGGGUCUUCGUUCUUCGUCAUCACCAACUCAUCUACAUCGCCAAUUCCAUGAUGCUCCCCACUGGGAGUGAGUAAUUCCUACGUAGGCUCACUGGUCGGUGCGGAGUUGGAUGAGAUUCACCAUGUAAUCGAGUUAGUUUUGUUAGGGCAUGAUCCCUAGUAUCCACUAUGUUCUUAGAUUGAUGUUGCUAUGACUUUGCUAUGCUUAAUGCUUGUCACUUUGGGCCCCGGUGCCAUGAACCCAGAUCUGAACUGUUUAUGAAUUCAUCAUUAUAUCCAUGUUUUAGAUCCGAUCUUGCAAGUUAUAGUCACCUACAACGGUUAUGAUCCGACAACCCCAGAGUGACAACAACCGGGCCCACUCUCGGUGAUGACCGUAGUUUGAGGAGUUCAUGUAUUCACUAUGUGUUAAUGCUUUGUUCCAGUUCUCUAUUAAAAGGAGGCCUUAAUAUCCCUUAGUUUCAAAUAUGGACACCGCUGCCACGGGAGGGUAGGACAAAAGAUGCCAUGCAAGUUCUUUUAAUAAAGCACGUAUGACUAUUUACGGAAUACAUGCCUACAUUAUAUCGAUGAACUGGAGCUAGUGUCGUAUCGCCAUAGGUUAUAACUAUCACAUGAUGAAUAUCAUCCAACAAGUCACGGAUCCAAUGCCUAUGAAUUUAUCUUAUAUUCUUCUUGCUAAGUUACUAUUGUUAGUACUGCCAUCGUUACUGCUACAAUAUCACUGCUAUCACUAUUACUGUUAUUGUUACUACUACUACUAUCAUCAAAAUUAUCAUAUUCCUGUCCUACAGAUCACUUUGCUGCAGAUAAUUAAUCUCCAGGUGUGGUUGAAUUGACAACUCAGCUGCAAAUACCUUCAAAUAUUCUUUGGCUCUCCUUGUGUUGAAUCUAUAAAUUUGGGUUGAAUACUCUACCCUCGAAAACUGUUGCGAUCCCCUAUACUUGUGGGUUAUCAGAAUGCAGGUAGGACAACGUGAGCAAGAAAGUAUUUAUUGGCGGCCGGAAUCUAGAUCGACAGGAACAGUACACACGCUGGUCGCUAGAAUUUACGAGUACUGUAAUUUGAAUUACACACGAUUCCUGCAGCAAAAUCCGUGUGUGAACAUAAUAGCUGACGGUUUCCAAUGCAGAACCGUGUCUGAUUAUUAACGCCCACCACUCACCUUCCAAACCUCGAGGCACAAAAUAUAGUGCCAAUCGUGUGGGGACCGGUUGCCUUGCCAGAUUUUACAUUUUCUUUUUUGAACACCCGAUAUUUACAUCGUCUGAUGAUUUUUUAACUCGCACACAAGUACACAAAUAUGAUUUUUCAAACCGUUAUGGUUAGCCGUUGCAUGUAGAUGUAGUUCAAAUUUGAAUUACGGUCAUUGAAUGGCUAGAAAAUCACUUAAAUAUCUUCAAAAGGCAAAUGACCCCUGAAAUUUUCCAAAUUUUCACAUGACAGUUGUAUUAGUGCAUGUUACACAUAGAAAAAAAGUGCAUUGUUCCCUCUCGGAACAACGAGCCUUCUAGUGAGUUGCCCCGGUUUGUGAGGGGUGUGUGUGUCCAAACUUCCGUCAAAUAGGUCAAUUUUUUUACCACAUCAUCUACCUAGCGUGACAUUACAUCAAGCAAGGUUUCAUGUUUUUUUGAUCUUUUUUAAUUUUUUUUGAAACUAAAAUGCCAUGGCACUCCAUGAACGUGUCCAUGUCGUGAGACCAAUUUUGAAAAUUCCUUCUAAUUUACUGCGCAUAAAAUUAACUAGCACACAAGUACACAAAUAUGAUUCUUCAAACCGUUAUGGUUAGCCAUUGGAUGUAGAUGUAGUUCAAAUUUAACUUAAGGUCAUUAAAUGGCUAGAAAAUCACUUAAAUGACUUCAAAUGGCAAAAUGACCACUGAAAUUUUCCAAAUUUUCACAUGACAGUUGUAUUAGUGCACGUUACACCUAGAAAAAAAUUGAAGGCUGUAAGAGGAAGUUAUCUCCCAUUGGUCAUCAGACAUGCAUUGUUCCCUCUCGAAACAACGAGCCUUCUAGUGAGUUGCUCCGGUUUGUGAGGGGUGUGUCCAAACUUUUGUCAAAGUAGGCCAAUUUUUCUACCACAUCAACUUGGUGGCAUGAUAUUACAUCAAGCAAGGUUUCAUGUUUUUUAUCAUUUUUUAAUUUUUUGGAAUUAAAAUGCCAUGGCACUCCAUGCAUGUGUCCAUGCCAGGAGACCAAUAUGUUUGAAAAUUCCUUCUAAUUUACUGCACCUGGAAUUAACUCGCACACAAGUACACAAAUAUUAUUUUUCAAACCAUUAUGGUUAGCCGUUGCAUGUAGAUGUGGUUCAAAUUUGAAUUACGGUCAUUAAAUGGCUAGAGAAUCACUUAAAUGUCUUCAAAAGGUCAACUGACCCAUGCAAUUUUCCAAAUUUUCACAUGACAGUUGUAUUAGUGCAUGUUACACGUAGAAAAAAUUUAAAGGCCGUAAGAGGAAGCUAUCUCCCGUUCGUCGUCAAACAUGCAUUGUUCCCUCUCGGAAUCACGAGCCUUCUAGUGAGUUGCUCCAGUUUGUGAGGGGUGCGUGUGUGUUCAAACUUUCGUCAAACAGGCCAAUUUUUGACCACAUCAUCUUGGUGGCAUGACAUUACAUCAAGCAAGGUUGCAUGUUUUUCUUAUCAUUUUUAAAUUUUUUGGUAUUAAAAUGCCAUGGCACUCCAUGAACGUGUCCAUGUCAUGAGAACAAUAUGUUUGAAAAUUCCUUCUAAUUUACUACACAUGGAAUUAACUCACACACAAGUACACAAAUAUGAUUUUCCAAACCGCUAUGGUUAGCCAUUGCAUGUAGAUGUAGUUCAAAUUUGAAUUACGGUCACUAGAUGGCUAGAAAAUCACUUAAAUGUUUUCAAAAGGUCAAAUGACCCCUGAAUUUUUUCAAAUUUUUACAUGAUAGUUGUAUUAUUGCACGUUACACGUAGAGAACUUUUGAAGGCCGUAGGAGGAAGCUAUCUUCCGUUCGUCAUCAAACAUGCAUUGUUCCCUCUCGGAACCACGAGCCUUCUAGUGAGUUGCUCCGGUUUGUGAGGGGUGUGUUUCCAAAAUUUCAUCAAAUGGGCUAAUUUUUUUACCACAUCAACUUGGUGGCAUGACAUUACAUCAAGCAAGGUUUCAUGUUUUUUUGAUCAUUUUUUUAUUUUUUGGAACUAUAAUGCCAUGGCACUCCAUGCAUGUGUCCAUGCCUGAGACCAAUAUGUUUGAAAAAUCCUUCUAAUUUACUGCACAUGGAAUUAAAUCACACAAAAGUUCACAAAUAUGUUUUUUCAAACCGUUAUGGUUAGCCGUUGCAUGUAGAUGUAGUUCAAAUUUGAAUUACGGUCAUUAAAUGGCUAGAAAAUCACUUAAAUGUCUUCAAAAGGUCCAAUGACCCCUGAAAUUUUCCAAAUUGUCACAUGCCAGUUGUAUUAGUGCAUGUUACACGUAGAAAAAAUUUGAAGGUCGUAACAAGAAGCUAUCUCCCGUUGGUCAUCAAACAUGCAUUGUUCCCUAUAGGAACCAGGAGCCUUCUAAUGAGUUGCUCCGGUUUGUGAGGGGUGUGUGUCCAAACUUUUGUCAAAUAGGCCAAUUUUUUACCACAUCAACUUGGUGGCAUGACAUUGCAUCAAGCAAGGUUUCAUGUUUUUCUGAUCAUUUACUAUUUUUUUGCAAUUAAAAUGCCAUGGUACUCCAUGCAUGUGUCCAUGCUGUGAGACCAAUAUGUUUGGAAAUUCCUUCAAUUUACUGCACAUGGACUUAACUCGCACACAAGUACACAAAUGUGAUUUUCCAAACCGUUAUGGUUAGCCGUUGCAUGUAGAUGUAGUUCAAAUUUGAAAUAUGGUCAUUAAAUGGCUAGAAAAUCACUUAAAUAUCUUCAAAAGGACAAAUGCCCCCUGAAAUUUUUCAAAUUUUCACAUGAUAGUUGUAUUAAUGCAUGUUACACAUAGAAAAAUUAUGAAGGCUGUAAGAGGAAGCUAUCUCCGUUGGUCACCAAACAUGCUUUGUUCCCUCUGAGAACCACGAGCCUUCUUGUGAGUUGCUCCGGUUUGUGAGGGGUGUGUGUCCAAACUUUUGUCAAACAGGCCAAUUUUUUUACCACAUCAUCUCAGUGGCAUGACAUUACAUCAAGCAAGGUAUCAUGUUUUUCUGAUCAUUUUUUAAUUUUUUGGAAUUAAAAUGCCAUGGCACUCCAUGCAUGUGUCCAUGCCGUGAGACCAAUAUGUUUGAAAAUUACUUCUAAUUUAGUGCACAUGGAAUUAACUCGCACACAAGUACACAAAUACGAUUUUUCAAACCAUUAUGGUUAGACGUUGCAUGUAGAUGUGGUUCAAAUUUGAAUUACGUUCAUUAAAUGGCUAGAAAAUCACUUAAUUGUCUUCAAAAGGUUAAUUGACCCCUGAAAUUUUCCAAAUUUUUACAUGAGAGUUGUAUUAGUGCACGUUACACAUAGAUAAAAUUUAAAGGCCGUAAGAGGAAGCUAUCUCCCGUUCGUCAUCAAACAUGCAUUGUUCCCUCUCAGAAUCACGAGCCUUCAACUGAGUUGCUCCGGUUUGUCAGGGAUGCGUGUGUUUUCAAACUUUCGUCAAACAUGCCAAUUUUUUACCACAUCAUCUUGGUGGCAUGACAUUACAUCAAGCAAGGUUGCAUGUUUUUCUUAUCAUUUUUUAUUUUUUUUGGUAUUAAAAUGCCAUGGCACUCCAUGAACGUGUCCAUGUCGUGAGACCAAUAUGUUUGAAAAUUCCUUCUAAUUUACUACACAUGAAAAUAACUCGCACACAAGUACAAAAAUAUGUUUUUUCAAACCGUUAUGGUUAGCCAUUGCAUAUAGAUGUAGUUCAAAUUUGAAUUACGGUCAUUAAAUGGCUAGAAAAUCCCUUAAAUGUUUUCAAAAGGUCAAAUGACCCUUGAAUAUUUUCAAAUUUUCACAUGAUAGUUGUAUUAGUGCACGUUACACGUAGAAAACUUUUGAAGGCCAUAAGAGGAAGCUAUCUCCCGUUCGUCAUCAAACAUGCAUUGUUCCCUCUCGGAACGACGAGCCUUCUAGUGAGUUGCUCCGGUUUGUGAGGGGUGUGUGUCCAAAAUUUCAUUAAACAGGCCAAUUUUUUCUACCACAUCAACUUGGUGGCAUGACAUUACAUAAAGCAAGGUUACAUGUUUUUCUAAUCGUUUUUUAAUUUUUUGAAACUAAAAUGCCAUGGCACUCCAUGCAUGUGUCCAUACCGUGAGACCAAUAUGUUUGAAAAUUCCUUCUAAUUUACUGCACAUGGAAUUAACUCGCACACAAGUGAAAAAAUAUGUUUUUUCAAACCGUUAUGGUUAGCCGUUGCAUGUAGAUGUAGUUCAAAUUUAAAUUACAGUCAUUAAAUGGCUAGAAAAUCACUUAAAUGUCUUCAAAAGGUCCAAUGACCCGUGAAAUUUUCCAAAUUUUCACAUCACAGUUGUAUUAGUGCAUGUUACACGUAGAAAAAAUUUGAAGGCCGUAAUAGGAAGCUAUCUCCUGUUGGUCAUGAAACAUGCAUUGUUCCCUCUCGGAACCAGGAGCCUUCUAGUGAGUAGCUCCGGUUUGUGAGGGGUGUGUGUCCAAACUUUUGUCAAACAAGCUAAUUUUUUACCACGUCAACUUGGUGGCAUGACAUUCCAUCAAGCAAGGUUUCAUGUUUUUCUGAUGAUUUACUAAUUUUUUGCAAUUAAAAUGCCAUGGUACUCCAUGCAUGUGUCCAUGCUGUGAGACCAAUAUGUUUGGAAAUUCCUUCCAAUUUACUGCACAUGGACUUAACUCGCACACAAGUACACAAAUAUGAUUUUUCAAACCGUUAUGGUUAGCCGUUGCAUGUAGAUGUAGUUCAAAUUUGAAUUAUGGUCAUUAAAUGGCUAGAAAAUCACUUAAAUAUCUUCAAAAGGUCAAAUGCCCCCUGAAAUUUUUCAAAUUUUCACAUGACAAUUGUAUUAGUGCAUGUUACACGUAGAAAAAUUAUGAAGGCUGUAAGAGGAAGCUAUCUCCGUUGGUCACCAAACAUGCUUUGUUCCCUCUGAAAACCACGAGCCUUCUUGUGAGUUGCUCCGGUUUGUGAGGCGUGUGUGUCCAAACUUUUGUCAAACAGGCCAAUUUUUUUACCACAUCAUCUUGGUGGCAUGACAUUACAUCAAGCAAGGUUUCAUGUUUUUCUGAUCAUUUUUUAAUUUUUUGGAAUUAAAAUGCCAUGGCACUCCAUGCAUGUGUCCAUGUCGUGAGACCAAUAUGUUUGAAAAUUCCUUCUAAUUUACUGCACAUGGAACUAACUCGCACACAAGUACACAAAUAUGAUUUUUCAAACCAUUAUGGUUAGCCGUUGCAUGUAGAUGUAGUUAAAAUUUAAAUUACGGUCAUUAAAUGGCUAGAAAAUCAAUUAAAUGUCUUCAAAGGUAAUAUGAAACCUGAAAUUUGUCAAAUUUUCACAUGAUAGUUGUAUUAGUGAACGUUACACGUAGAAAAAAAUUGAAGGCCGUAAGAGGAAGCUAUAUUCCGUUCGUCAUCAAACAUGCAUUGUUCCCUCUCGGAACCACGAGCCUUCUACUGAGUUGCUUCGGUUUGUGAGGGUGUGUGUCCAAACUUUCGUCAAACAGGCCAAUUUUUUAACCACAUCAACUUGGUGGCAUGACAUUACCUCAAGCAAGGUUUCAUGUUUUUCGAAUCAUUUUUAAUUUUUUUGGAAUUAAAAUGCCGUGGCACUCCAUGCAUGUGUCCCUGCCGUGAGACAAAUAUGUUUGAAAAUUUGUUCUAAUUUACUGCACAUGGAAUUAACUCGCACACAAGUACAGAAAUAUGAUUUUUCAAACCAUGGUUAGCCAUUGCAAGUAGAUGUAGUUCAAAUUUGAAUUACGGUAAUUGAAUGGCUAGAAAAUCACUUAAAUGUCUUCAAAAGGUCAAAUGACCCUGAAAUUUUCCAAAUUUUCACAUGACAGUUGUAUUAGUGCAUGUUACAUGUAGAUAAUUUUUAAAGGCCGUAAGAGGAAGCUAUCUCCUUUUCGUCAUCAAACAUGCAUUGUUCCCUCUCGGAACCACGAGCCUUCUAGUGAGUUGCUCUGGUUUGCUAGGGGUGUGUGUGUCCAAACGUUCGUCAAACAUGCCAAUUUUUUACCACAUCAUCUUGGUGGCAUGACAUUACAUCAAGCAAGGUUCCAUGUUUUUCGGAUCAGUUUUUAAUUUUUUGAAAUUAAAAUGUCAUGGCACUCCAUGAACGUGUCCAUGCCGUGAGACCAAUAUGUUUGAAAAUUCCUCUAAUUUAGUGCACAUAAAAUUAACUCGCACACUAGUACACAAAUAUGAUUUUUCAAAACAUUAUGGUUAGUCGUUGUAUGUUGAUGUAGUUCAAAUUUGUAUUACGGUCAUUAAAUGGCUAGAAAAUCACUUAAAUGACUUCAAAUGGCAAAAUGACCACUGAAAUUUUCCAAAUUUUCACAUGAUAGUUGUAUUAGUGCACGUUACACAUAGAAAAAAUUGAAGGCUGUAAGAGGAAGUUAUCUCCCGUUCGUCAUCAAACAUGCAUUGUUCCCUCUCGAAACAACGAGCCUUCUAGUGAGUUGCUCCGGUUUGUGAGGGGUGUGUGUCCAAACUUUCAUCAAACAGGCCAAUUUUUUUACCACAUCAACUUCGUGGCAUGACAUUACAUCAAGCAAGGUUUCAUGUUUUUCUGAUCGUUUUUUAAUUUUUUUUUUGGAACUAAAAUGCCAUGGCACUCCAUGCAUGUGUCGAUGCCGUGAGACCAAUAUGUUUGAAAAUUCCUUCUAAUUUACUACACAUGGAAUUAACUCGCACACAAGUACACAAAUAUGUUUUUUCAAACCAUUAUGGUUAGCCGUUCCAUGUAGAUGUAGUUCAAAUUUGAAUUACGGUCAUUAAAUGGCUAGAAAAUCACUUAAAUGUCUUCAAAAGGUCCAAUGACCCCUGAAAUUUUCCUUCACAUGAUAGUUGUAUUAGUGCACGUUACACGUAGAAAACUUUUGAAGGUCGUAACAGGAAGCUAUCUCCCGUUGGUCAUCAAACAUGCAUUGUUCCCUCUCGGAACCAGGAGCUGAUGUCUACUAUGAAGCCUUCUUCUUCUAGACGUUGUUGGGCCUCCAAGUGCAGAGGUUUGUAGGAAAGUAGCAAAUUUCCCUCAAGUGGAUGACCUAAGGUUUAUCAAUCUGUGGGAGGCGUAGGAUGAAGAUGGUCUCUCUCAAACAACCCUGCAACCAAAUAACAAAGAGUCUCUUGUGUCCCCAACACACCCAAUACAAUGGUAAAUUGUAUAGGUGCACUAGUUCGGUGGAGUUGGUGAUACAAGUGCAAUAUGGAUGGUAGAUAUAGGUUUUUGUAAUCUGAAAAUAUAAAAACAGCAAGGUAACUUAUGAUAAAAGUGAGUGUAAACAGUAUUGCAAUGCUAGGAAACAAGGCCUAAGGUUCAUACUUUCACUAGUGCAAGUUCUCUCAACAAUAAUAACAUAACUGGAUCAUAUAACUAUCCCUCAACAUGCAACAAAGAGUCACUCCAAAGUCACUAAUAGCGGAGAACAAACGAAGAGAUUAUUGUAGGGUACUAAACCACCUCAAAGUUAUCCUUUCUGAUCGAUCUAUUCAAGAGUCCGUAGUAAAAUAACACGAAGCUAUUCUUUCCGUUCGGUCUAUCCCAGAGUUCGUACUAGAAUAACACCUUAAGACACAAAUCAACCAAAACCCUAAUGUCACCUAGAUACUCCAAUGUCACCUCAAGUAUCCGUGGGUAUGAUUAUACGAUAUGCAUCACACAAUCUCAGAUUCAUCUAUUCAACCAACACAAAGAACUUCAAGGGGUGCCCCAAAGUUUCUACCAGAGAAUCAAGACGAAAAUGUGUGCCAACCCCUAUGCAUAAGUUCACAAGGUCACUAAACCCACAAGUUGAUCAUCAAAACAUACAUCAAGUAGAUCACGUGAAUAUCCCAUUGUCACCACAAAUAAGCACGGCACGACAUACAUCAAUUGUUCUCAAAUCCUUAAAGACUCAAUCCGACAAGACAACUUCAAAGGGAAAACUCAAUUCAUCACAAGAGAGUAGAGGGGGAGAAACAUCAUAAGAUCCAACUAUAAUAGCAAAGCUUGUGAUACAUCAAGAUCGUGCCAAAUCAAGAACAUGAGAGAGAGAGAGAGAGAUCAAACACAUAGCAACUGGUACAUACCCUCAGCCCCGAGGGUGAACUACUCCCUCCUCGUCAUGGAGAGCACCGGGAUGAUGGAGAUGGCCACCGGUGAGGGAUCCCCCCUCCGGCAGGGUGCCGGAAUAGGGCCUCAGUUGGUUUUUGGUGGCUAUAGAGGCUUGCGACGGCGGAACUCCCAAUCGAUUAUGUUCCCUAAUGUUUUUAGGGUAUAUGCACAUAUAUAGGCGAAAGAAGUCGGUCAGGGGAGACACGAGGGGCCCACGAGGGUGGGGCGUGCCCAGGGGGUAGGGCGCGCCUCCCUGCCUCAUGGCCACCUCGAAGCUGCCCUGACGUCUACUCCAAGUCUCCUAUGUUGCACUACUAGGGAAAAGCCUAUACACAGAAACUUACCAGCAGUGCUGCUCAAAAUACAACGCUACUGCUACUUAGCAGUAACACAUGAUUGCAAAACUCGCUGCUGAAAGGAAAAUAGCAGUAGCGCGUCCUCCGCAAAACGUGCUACUGCUCUAAUUGCCAUGACCUCGCCCCCCGCUAGUUUUAGCAGCAGCGCCCUAUAAUGAACUGCUCUACUGCUAUUCAGAUUAGUUGUAGCGCAUUUCGGCAAACGCGUUACAACUAUCCCUAUCUUAUCCCCACGCACACGACCGACCCUCUCUCUCACUCACACUAUCACUCUCGCCCGCGUGCCCAUAACCGUCAUCGUGCGUCGCCCACCGCCGCCGCCUUCGUCCGUCUGCCGCCGAGGUACUCCCCUCCUUCCGUCCCUCCUCCCUCCUCCUUGCACAUCCUCCCUCCGCCUGCGGUCGCCCCUCCCUCCUCCGCCGCCGCCCUCCUCCCUCUGCCUGCGUCCGCCCCUCCUCCCUCCGCUGCCGGCAGCCCUCCUCCCACCGCGCUCGACCUCACCGCUGCCACCCGAGCCCACCCAGCACCGCCGCCUCUCGAUCCCUACCCCUCCCUCGCCGCCCCUAGCUACCUCUCCGUCGCCCCCCACCCCCUGCCACUAGUUAGUACUAGAAUUAGUAGUAGUAGAUGGUAAUUUAGGGUUCAUAGCUAGUACUAGAUGUUGCUUAGUUAGUACUAGAUUUUUAGUAGUAGUAGGUGUUAAUUUAGGGUUCACAUUAGUACUAGAUUUUUAGUAGUAGAUGUUAAUUACUAGUAGUGAUGGUACUAGUUAACUAGGGCAGUAUGAUUAAUAGUAGUUGUAGUUGAACUAGUUUACUAAGUAAAUUAAUAAACUAGUUGAACUAGUUGAAUUAAUAGAACUAAUGUAUUUUUAGUAAGAUAAUUAAUAUAACUAGUUGAACUACUUUAUUUUUAGAAAGAACUAGUUUUUUUAUAUUUAUAGUAAGUUUAUAUUUAGUAAGAACUAGUUGAAUUAAUAAAACUAGUUGAACAUGUCAUAUUUGUUGUUAUUUUUUUAGUUUAAGCAAUUAUUCGGGGUGUAUUAGUGAUAACUUAUACGGUUUCAGGUGACCACCGUCGUCCCCGUCACCGACCCCCUCCGACAUCCCCGCCGUCGUCCCAGUCACCGACCCCCUCCGACAUCAAGGUGAGACCAGCCAAAUAUCCUUGUAUAUAUUGUGUUGUUGCUCAAAUAGGAUAUGUGGUUGCCCAAGUGGCCGUUCAUGUUCAGUUUACAUCUCCGAGUGGCCUAUGUUUUGCCGGAGUGUUGAUUAAUUUCCGUUCUGGUAAAUUUCAGGCGCUCGAUAUGUCCUUUUUUAGCAAAGGUCAUGCUGGAUUUUUUCGUGAAUUCUGGCAUGACUUGUGCUAGAAUAUGUACACGUUUAAUCUUUGAAUUAUGAACGUAGGAAAUGUCGUACUCGGACGACGACGGUAUCCCGGGGGAGUGCAGCUGGUGCCACAACGAUCGAGGUAUGUGCGACAGGUUCGUUGAGCUGGACGAAGAUCGGCGCUUCAGCAUUAAGCUCGAGGAGACCUUCGAUGUUGAAACGGUACGCAACAACGACAGGUGUUUUUUUCGUAAUUAAGCAUGACUUCAACUAUUUCAACGUCUAAUUUUCAUAUUUUACAAUUUGACUAGCUUAUUCCAUGCCAUGCAAGACGCUUUGUCUUGGAGAGGAUGGGUUUUGAAGACCAUGAAAAUUUUUAAACAAAGAAAAUACACCUAAGGACCCAUCAUGAUAUGGAUUUUGAAGUAAAUCUGUGCAAUGCUCAGAGCGUAACCCAUUUUGGUUGCCAAAAUUGGAAAUCACUUUGCAAAAUGUAUGGUUUUUAUGAGGGUAUGAUUGUCACCAUGGAUCUUGGUGAUCCUGACAUCGAGCAAGACAAUAUGGACAUUUGGGUCCUUGUUGAUACGCUUCCGAUUGUACCGCUAUGUGAGUUUCUCAAACAUAGUUAUUAACUAAUUUAUAUUUAUUAUUUCAAAAUAGGUGAUAGCUUAUUUCCAUUGACAGCUUAUUUUGAUUCUUCAAAGACUGUGCGGAAGAUGGUAGAUAAAACCCACUACACCGAUGGCACCGAAUUAAUGUAUAAGGAGAAAAAUCAUCUGAUCGCAUUUUGUACUCUUCUUGAGAAUUACAAUAACUAUUAUCGAACUCCUCCAAAUUAUGGUGAAUACGUGCCACUAGUGCAUGUGUUGAACCACGGUAACUUCUCUAGAGAUACCCUGGUAAGAUUUUUUACUAUUACGACAUCCGUGCAUCUUCUGCAUACUUCUAAAACUAGUACAUCAUUGCUAACUACGAAGUUAUUAUUAUGUUUUUCAAUAGAAACUCCCUAUGGAUUGUGUGCCUCAUCUGAUGUCUCUGAAUGGUCGCCUCUCAGUUCUGAACAUACUGCCAGGUAAAUCUAGGGAGCUCACCUUUGCAUAUCGGAUUUCUAAAACCGGUGAACACAUGAUCAUCAAAGAAUGGAAGAAAUGUAUGGACAUUCGCAAGGAGGUUCUUGGAAGUAACAUUCAGCAAAAGGCAAGAAUUGGAGACAGGCUAAUCUCCAUUCUCCAUAAUGGAGAGUCAGGGGCUAUCUUGUUUUUUGCUAUAUUACCUUAGAAAAUGUAGUAGGUCUUAAUCGAAUGUAGUAGGUCCUAUGAGGUACAAUAUGUUUAUUAUGUGGUAAUGUGUUAGAGUUGAUAAUGAGGAGUACUUGUGAUUACGACUAGUGACCAAUUUGCUAUGUGAUGUCAUUGAUGAAAACGAUGAUCUUGAGGAGGUGUUAUAUGACAAUGAUGUAUUAUGAUGAUAAGUUGUUAAUGAUAUGAUGAUGAUGAUAUUAUUAUAUCAUUGGGUGAAAGAACCGCGGAUUAGUUUCAAGUGGAUGGCCAUCCACUUGAAACUAGUCCAUGGUUCUUUCACCCCGUGAUGUAAUAACUCAUUAUGAUGUAAAAACAAUCUCCAAAUUCCUAUUGUAUGAAAACUUGUGUAAAGGUGUAUGAAUACAACAUGAAAUAAAAAAGAAAUAAAAUACUAAAUAAUAGUAGUAGCGCGGGAAAGGGGAAGCGUUACUACUAAUUACCAGUAGCGCGGUUCUGAAGAACCGCUACUACUAAGUCAAUUUAGCAGUAGCGUGCAUCUAGGCGCGCUAUUGCUAAGGUUUAGCUGUAGCGCCUUAUCAGUAGCGCUCCUUCCCGCGCUACUGAUAGGCCUAAAACCCGCGCUGCUGCUAGGCUUUUCCCUAGUAGUGUUGCUUCCGUUCCAAAAAUAACUCUCCCGAAGGUUUCAUUCCAUUUGGACUCCGUUUGAUAUUCCUUUUCUUCAAAACACUGAAAUAGGCAAGAAAACAGCAAUUUGGGUUGGGCCUCCGGUUAACAGGUUAGUCCCAAAAAUCAUAUAAAAGUGUAAAGUAAAGCCCAUAAACAUCCAAAAUGGGUAAUAUAAUAGCAUGGAACAAUCAAAAAUUAUAGAUACGUUGGACACAUAUCAAGCAUCCCCAAGCUUAAUUCCUGCUCGUCCUCGAGUAGGUAAAUGAUAAAAACAGAAUUUUUGAUGUGGAAUGCUACCUAGCAUAUUUCUCAAUGUAAUUUUCUUUAUUGUGGCAUGAAUGCUUAGAUCCAAAUGAUUCAAGAUAAAAGUUCAUAAAACAUAAAAAUAGUAAUACUUCAAGCAUACUAACAAGUAAUCAUGUCUUAUCAAAAUAGCGUAGCCAAAGAAAGCUCAUCCCUACAAAAUCAUAUAGUUAGGCCAUGCUUCAUUUUCAUCACACAAAAUACUCCCAUCUGCACAACCCCGGUUUUAGCCUAGCAAUUGGUUCAUACUUUUUAACGCGCUUCAGCUUUUUCAAGUCUUACGCAAUACUUGAGUGCAAGCCAUGGACAUAGCACUAGAUGUGGAAUAGGGUGGUGGUUGUGAAGACAAAAAGGGAGAAGAUAGUCUCACAUCAACUAGGCGUAUCAACGGGCUAUGGAGAUGCCCAUUAAUAGAUAUCAAUGUGAGUGAGUAGGGAUUGCCUUGCAGCGGAUGCACUAGAGCUAUAAAUAUAUGAAAGCUCAAAAAAGAAACUAAGUGGGUGUGCAUCCAACUUGCUUGCUCACGAAGACCUAGGGCAUUUUAAGGAAGCCCGUCAUUGGAAUAUACAAGCCAACUUCUAUAAUGAAAAAUUCCCACUAGUAUAUGAAAGUGACAAACAUGCAUUGUUCCCUCUCGGAACCACGAGCCUUCUAGUGAGUUGCUCCGGUUUGUGAGGCGGGGUGUGUACAAACAUUCAUCAAACAGGCCAAUUUUUACCACAUCAUCUUGGGGCAUGAAAUUACAUCAAUCAAGGUUUGGUGUUUCUCCGAUCAUUUUUAAUUUUUUGGAAUUAAAAUGCCAUGGCACUCCAUGAACAUGUCCAUGCUGUGAGACCAAUAUGUUUAAAAAUUCCUUCUAAUUUAGUGCACAUAAAUUAACUCGACACAAGUACACAAAUAUGAUUUUUCAAACAGUUAUGGUUAGCCAUUGCAUGAAGAUGUGGUUCAACUUUGAAUUACGGUCAUUAAAUGGCUAGAAAAUCACUUAAAUGUCUUCAAAAGGUCAAAUGACCCCUGAAAUUUUCCAAAUUUUCACAUGACAGUUGUAUUAGUGCACGUUACACGUAGAAAAAAAAUUUAAAGGCCGUAAGAGGAAGCUAUCUCCUGUUGGUCAUCAAACAUGCAUUGUUCCCUCUCGGAACCACGAGCCUUCUAGUGAGUUGCUCCGGUUAGUGAGGGGUGUGUGUCCAAACUUUCUUCAAACAGGCCAAUAUUUUUACCACAUCAUCUUGGUCGCAUGACAUUGCAUCAAGCAAGGCUGCAUGUUUUUUUGAUCAUUUUUUAAUUUUUUGGAAUUAAAAUGCCAUGGUACUCCAUGCAUGUGUCCAUGCCGUGAGACCAAUAUGUUUGAAAAUUCCUUCUAAUUUAAUGCAAAUGGAAUUAACUCGCACACAAUUACACAAAUAUAAUUUUACAAACCGUUAUUUUUAGCCUUUGCAUGUAAAUGUAGUUCAAAUUUGAAUUACGGUCAUUAAAUGGCUAGAAAAUCACUUAAAUGACUACAAAAGGUCAAAUGACCUCUGAAAUUCUCCAAAUUUUCAUAUGACAGUUGUAUUAGUGCAUGUUACACGUUAAAAAAAAUUGAAGGCCGUAGGAAGCUAUCUCCCAUUCGCCAUCAAACAUGCAUUGUUCCCUCUCGAUACCACAAGCCUUCUAGUGAGUUGCUCCUGUUUGUGAGGGGUGUGUGUCCAAACUUUCGUCAAAGAGGACAAUUUUUUUACCACAUCAUCUUGGUGGCAUGACAUUACAUCAAGCAAGGUUUCAUGUUUUUCUGAUCAUUUUUUAAUAUUCUAGAAUUUAAAUGCCAUGACACUCCAUGCAUGUGUCCAUGCCGUGAGACCAAUAUGUUUGAAAAUUCCUUUUAAUUUGCUGCACAUGGAAUUAACUCGCACACAAGUACACAAAUAUGAUUUUUCAAACUGUUAUGGUUAGCCGUUGCAUGUACAUGUUGUUCUAAUUUGAAUUUUGAUCAUUAAAUGGCUAGAAAGUCACUUAAAUGUCUUCAAAAGGUCUACUGACCCCUGAAAUUUUCCAAAUUUUCACAUGACAGUUGUAUUAGUGCAUGUUACACGUAGAAAAAAUUUGAAGGCCGUAAGAGGAAGCUAUCUCCUGUUCGUCAUUAAACAUGCAAUGUUCCCUCUCGGAACCACAAGCCUUCUAGUGAGUUGCUUCGGUUUGUGAGGGGUGUGUCUCCAAACUUUCGUCAAACUGGACAAUUUUUUACCACAUCAUGUUGGUGGCAUGAAAUUACAUCAAGCAAAGUUUCAUGUGUUUUUGAUCUUUUUUUAAUAUUUUGGAAUUUAUAUGCCAUAAGACUCCAUGCAUGUGUCCAUGUCAUGAGACCAGUAUGUUUGAAAAUUCCUUUUAAUUUGUCGCACAAGGAAUUAACUCUCGGAACCAUAGGCCUUCUAGUGAGUUGCUCCGGUUUGUGAGGGGUGUGUCCAAACUUUUGUCAAAGCAGGCCAGUUUUUUUACCACAUCAACUUGGUGGCAUGAUAUUACAUCAAGCAAGGUUUCAUUUUUUUUAUCAUUUUUUAAUUUUUUGGAAUUAAAAUGCCAUGGCACUCCUUGCAUGUGUCCAUGCCAUGAGACCAAUAUGUUUGAAAAUUCCUUCUAAUUUACUGCACCUGGAAUUAACUCGCACACAAGUAGACAAAUAUGAUUUUUCAAACCGUUAUGGUUAGCCGUUGCAUGUACAUGUUGUUCUAAUUUGAAUUACGGUCAUUAAAUGGCUAGAAAAUCACUUAAAUGUCUUCAAAAGGUCAACUGACCCCUGAAAUUUUCCAAAUUUUCACAUGACAGUUGUAUUAGUGCACGUUACAAGUAGAAAAAAAUUGAAGGCCGUAAGAGGAAGCUAUCUCCCGUUCGUCAUCAAACAUGCAAUGUUCCCUCUCGGAACCACAAGCCUUCUAGUGAGUUGCUCCGGUUUGUGAGGGGAGUGUCUCCAAACUUUCGUCAAACAUGCCAAAUUGUUUACCAUAUCAUCUUGGUGGCAUGACAUUACAUCAAGCAAAGUUUCAUGUGUUUCUGAUCUUUUUUUAAUUUUUGGAAUUUAAAUGCCAUGGCACUCCAUGCUUAAUUGUGUCAUAGCCGUUAGACCAAUAUGUUUGAAAAUUCCUUCCAAUUUACUACACAUGGAAUUAAAUCGCACAAAAGUACACAAAAUAUGAGUUUUCAAACUGUUAUGGUUAGCUUUUGCAUGUACAUGUAGUUCAAAUUUCAAUUACGGUCAUUAAAUGGCUUGAAAAUCACUUAAAUGUCUUAAAAGGUCAAAUGACCCCUGAAAUUUUCCAAAUUUUGACAUGACACUCGUAUUAGUACUGCAAAUUUCCUCGUACAUUCAAAAACCCAUCCGUUGCCACUUUACUCCAAAUUCGUCUUUCACAGCUAAUAAAAAAUAUCUACAACAUCACAUAAGUUGUUUUGUAGGAGUCGUUUGCGAUGAAAAUUUCUAGGUCUGUUUAAGUCUUCCUCCUUAAACUUCGCCGGCUUGUCUGCUCCAGUGCCGGCAACCCCCGAAUCCACAAUUCCCGAUCCCCAUUCCCGCACCCCCUUCUUGCAAAGAUGACACCGUGGAAAUGCUUCGUGAAGGCACGUACGAUGGCCACGUCCCCCCCCAGCGCUGAUACGUCUCCAACAUAUCUAUAAUUUAUGAAGUAUUCAUGCUAAUAUUUUAUCAUUCUUGGAUGUUUUACAAUCAUUUUAUAGCAACUUUAUAUCGUUUUUUGGGACUAACCUAUUGACCCAGUGCCCAGUGCCAGUUGCUGUUUUUUGCUUGUUUUUUACAUCGCAGGAAAUCUAUAUCAAACAGAGUCCAAACACCGUGUAACUCCUUGGAGAAUUUUUAUGGACCAGAACACCCAAGAUGGGCUAGAGCAGCACCUGGGGGGUGCCUCGAGGGGGGCACAAGCCCAGGCGCGCCCAGGUGGGUUGUGCCCAACUCGGCGGCCUCCCGCGCCCCUUCUUCACCCAAUAAAAUCCCAAAUAUUCCAAAACCUUUCAGGGUAGCCCUAGAUCAUAAGUUCCGCCGCCGCAAGGCCUCUAUAUCCACGAGAUCCAAUCUAGACCCCAUUCCAACACCCUGCCAGAGGGGGGAAUCAUCUCCGGUGGCCAUCUUCAUCAUCCCGGCGACCACAAGUAUGAGUAGGGAGUAGUCCACCCUCGGGGCUGAGGGUUUGUACCAGUAGAUAUGUCUUUAAUCUCUCUCUCUCUCUCUCUUGUGUUCUUGAGAUGUCACGAUCUUGAUGUCUCGCGGGCUUUGUUAAUAUAGUCAUAUCAUAUGGUGUUUUCCCCUCUCUAUCUUGUUGUGAGGAAUUGAGUAUUUCCCUUUGAGAUUUCAUUGUUAUCGGGUUGAAUACUUUUAUGGAUUUGAGAACACUUGAUAUAUGUCUUGCAAUUGAAUACUCGUGGUGACAAUAGGGUAUCGUAUUGAUUCACUUGAUAUAUGUUUGGCACUCAACUUGCAGAUUCCCGAGGUGACAUAGGGGUAAUCUAUGCAUAGGGGUUGAUGCACGUUCUUGUCUUUAUUUCUCCGGUAGAAAUCUUGGGGCACUCUUUGAAGUUCUUUGUGUUGGACUGAAAAUUAUAAAUCUGAAUUUGCUUUGGUGUUAUUUUAGUAUGAACUCUAGGAUAGAUCAAACGGAAAUAAUAGCUUCGUGUUAUUUAGGUAUGAACUAUUGAAUAGAUCGAAUGGAAAGAAUAGCUUUGAGGUGGUUUCGUACCCUACAAAAAAUUUUGUCUUAUGUUCUCCAUUAGAUAGGAACUUUGGAGUGAUUCUUCAUCGCACUUUGAGGGAUGGUUAUAUAAUCCAAUUAUAUAGCACUGUUGAGAGAUUGCACUAGUGAAAGUAUGCACCCUAGGCCUCAUUUUCCAUCAUUGCAAUACCAUUUGUGCUUCGUUUACUAUUUACUACCUUGCUAUUUUUUAUUGUUCGCACUACAAAAACUCAUAUCUACUAUCCAUACUACACUUUUAUCAUCAUCUCUUCGCCGAACUAGUGCACCUAUACAAUUUGCCAUUGUAUUGGGUGUGUUGGGGACACAAGAGAUUUCUUGUAUUUGAUUGCAGAGUUGCUUGAGAGAGACUAUCUUCAUCUUACGCCUCCCACGAAUUGAUAAACCUUAGGUCAUUCACUUGAGGGAAAAUUGCUACUGUCCUACAAAACUCUGCACUUGGAGACCCAACACAUGUCUACAAGAAUAAAGUUGCAUAGUAGACAUCAAGCUCUUUUCUAGCGCCGUUGCCGGGGAGGUGAGUGCUUGAAGGUAUAUCUCUAGAUCUUGCAAUUGAAUCUUUUAGUUUCUUGUUUUAUCACUAGUUUGGUUUAUAAAAGAAAACUGCAAAAAAAUGGAAUUAAGGUUGCAUCAUAUUAUUGAUCAUCUUUAUGAUAUCUUUCUUGAAAAUGAUGGAUCAGAAAGUUGUGCUCAAUUUUUAGAAGAAGAAUGCUAUAAAAUGUUUGGCAUAGAAUCUUUGAAUGAUGAGCAUGAUUGCAAUGGUGUUGGCAUGAACUCUUUGAAUAUCCAUGAUGCUAAUGAUAUGCAAAGCCACAAGCUUGGGGAUGCUAUGGUUGAUGAAGAUGAUGUUUUUAGUCCCCCAAGAUUUGAUGUGCAAAUUUGUUAUAAUGAUUGCAUGCCUCCUAUUUAUGAUGAUUAUAAUGAUGAAAGUGGACUCGGAGAGGUCAUGACUUUAUUUAAUGAUGAAUCCACCAUUUUGGAUGAGGGUUCAAUAGAUUAUGAGAACAAGGUUGCUAUCUAUGAUGAUUAUGGUGAUUACAUGUAUGCUAUAAAGAAUAAUGAUAACCAUGAAACUUGUCAUCAUGAUUUUAAUUUUCACUCUCAUGAUAGUUAUUUUGUUGAGUUUGCUCCCACUACUAUUGAUGAGAAGAAAUUUGCUUAUGUGGAGAGUAAUAAAUUUUCUAUUCUUGUGGAUCAUGAAAAGAAUGCUUUAUGUGAUGAUUAUAUUGUUGAAUUUCUUCAUGAUGCUACUGAAAAUUUCUAUGAUGGAUGAAUAUAUGCUUGUAGGAAUUGCAAUAAUAUUAAGUUUCCUCUCUAUGUGUUGAAAAUCUUGAAGUGAUGCUUGUUUUGUCUUCCUAUGCUAGUUGAUUCUUGUUCCCAUAAGUUGUUUGCUCAUGAAAUCCCUAUGCAUAGGAAGUGGGUUAGACUUAAAUGUGCUAGUCAUAUUCUUCAUGAUGCUCUCUUUGUGUUCCAAUUCUUAUCUUUUAUGCGAGCAUCAUUGAAAUCAUCAUGCCUAGCUAGAAGGCAUUAAAGAAAAGCACUUGUUGGGAGACAACCCAACACUUUUAUCUACUAUUUUUUGUGUGUUCACAUGAUUAUGCUACUGUGGUAAUCAUGUUUUAUUGUUUUUGUUUCAAUAAACCGCCAAGUAAAACCUUUGGGAUCAUGUUGGGUGAUGGUUGAUUUGAUCUUGCUGAAAAAGAGAAACUUUUGCGCUCACGAAAAUAACUCUCAUUUUUAACAAGAGAGUGCUUUUGAGUUGAUUCUUUUUGAAUAAUAUUAAUAUACAAAUUUCUCACGUGUUCCAAUUUUUUUUCAUAGUUUUGGGAGUAUAAGAAGUAUGGUUUGAGUACAGAUUACUACAGACUGUUCUGUUUUUGUCAGAUUCUGUUCUCAAUGCAUAGUUUGCUUGUUUCCUGGUUUCUAUGGCUUAUAUUGCUCAAUAUAAAUUGUAGAACUGAUAUGAUAAAGUAGGCAUUGUGUGGAAACAAUUAUGCAUCUUGUCUUUGACAGUACCAAAAGUGAAAUGGUUUGCUCUUUAUCAUACUAACCUAUCUCACAAAGUUCUGUUAAGUUUUGUGUGAUUGAAGUUUACAAGUUUUGGGUGAGAUAUCGAUAUGAGGAGAAUAAGGAGUUACAAGACACUAAGCUUGGGCACUCCAAGGUAAUAUACAAGGAAUAUCCAAGCAACUAAGCUUGGGGAUGCCCCGGAAGGCAUCCCCUCUUUCGUCUUCAACAUUAUCGGUAACCUCACUUGGAGCUUUGUUUCAUUUGUCACAUGAUAUGUGUUUUGCUUGGAGAAUCAAUUUAUUUUGUUAGGAUUUGCUUUCAGUUAUAUAGAAUAAUGUUUUGCAUCUUUUAUUUCAAUAAAAGUGGCAAUGAUAGCCUUUGCCAUGCUUAUUUUGCAAGUAUACAUGUUGAUGUUUCAAAACAGAAAGUUUAUCGCUGUUGCAAAAAUUCCGUAGAGAAGUCAGAAUAUGAUAAAAUGUUGAAAUGUUUUGCAAAAUAAGCUCUUAUACAGUGUGUAGUUUGUUUCAUAAUUUUUGGGAUUAGGGAAGUAUGGUGAAUCUUGCAUUCUUUACAGACUUUACUAUUUUGGAAGAUUGAUGUUAUGGUUGCAUUGUUUGCAUAUGUUUGCUUGUUUAAUGAUUCUAUUUGAGGAUAGGACUAUUAAAUAUGCAGUGGAAUUUAGUAUGAAAUGUUGAAUAAUAAUUUUAGUAAUUUGGUACAGUAGAGAAUGAUGAGGUUUUGCAUUGAUUUAUACUGACUUAUCUCACGAGCUCUUGUUGAGUUUUGUGUGGAUGAAGCUUUUGAGAUUUAGGGAAACCGUGAUAUGAGAGGAAUUAAGGAGACACAAAAGCUCAAGCUUGGGUAUGCCCAAGGCAUCCCAAGUUAAUAUUCCAAGAAGUCUCAAGCAUCUAAGCUUGGGGAUGCCCCGGUAGGCAUCCCACCUUUCUUCUUCAACAAUUAUCGGUUAGUAUCGGUUGAGCCUAAGUUUUUGCUUCUUCACAUGAGUUGUGCUAUUCUUAGAAUGUCAUUUUAUUUUUAUUUUUCUUGUUGUUUUAAUAAAAUACUUAGACCUGAAAGUUUUCAAAUAAAGGAGAGUCCUCAAAUAGUUGCCAGGGAGGCUAAGUAAGCGGCACUCACAUCCCGUCAAGGAAGCUCUUUUCUGUGCAAUUGCCCUAGUGCUUCACUUAUAUCCUAUGAGUAAAUUGUUGAAUAAAUUGAAUAUCAUGAAGUUAAAAUGACAUCAUGCCUAUGGUAGCUUCACAUUGGGUUUAGAGAGUGAAAUCUUUUGAGGAUUAACAAUCACAAUAUUAGUCAUACAAGCAAUUCACGAAUAAAAGGUAUAAGGAAGAGAACUUUCACAUGCAAAUACACUAUCUUGGAAAUCUUUUGUGAUUGAGCCCCCAUCAAAAUAUUAUAUGCCAAAAUUGUUGAAGUUGGACAAGGAAGACAACGUAAUGAUUUACGUUUGUUCAUAUUCACAUAGAAGUUAUAUUGACAUAGAUCCUUCAACAUGUGGUGCUUGCCCCCUAUCUUUGCUACCCAAAAAUUCCGUACCAAGUAGAGAUACUACUUGUGCAUCCAAAAACCCUUAAACCCAAAUCUUGUUUUGAGAGUCCACCAUACCUACCUAAGGAUUGAGAAAUAUCCUUCAAGUCAGUUGUCAUCAGUGCAAUAAGGCAAUAAAAAUUGCUUCUAAGAGUGUUAGAUCAUUUAGUGUAAGAGAAAAUUGAGCGUUGUACGAACUUGUGAUGGAAAAGAAUAAAAGCGAUAGACUGCAUAAUAAAGGUUGCUAUCAUAAGGGGCAAUAUAAUGUGAAGUUCUUUUGCACUAAGGGGUUGAGCAUACAAACAAAUAAGCGCAUGGCAAUCUAUGCUUCCCUUUGCGAAGGGCCUAUCUUUUACUUUUAUGUAUUUACUUUCAUGCAAGAGUCAAAGUUUUUCUCUCUACUCCUUUUUAUUAUUCUCCUUUGGCAAGCAUCAUGUGGUGAGGAAAGAUCUAGGCAGAUAUAUCCAAUUGGAUAUGGGUAGCAUGAGUUAUUAUUGUUGACAUCACCCAAAGGUGAAUACGUUGGGAGGCAAAAUUAUAAGCCCCUAUCUUUCUAUGUGUCCGGUUGAAACGUUUUCCUCAUGUGUAUGCGGUGAGUGUUAGCAAUCAUAGAAGACUAUAUGGCGGUUGAGUAUGUGGAGCUCUUACUUAGACUCUGUUGAAUAAGUUGAAUUGCAAUUGCUUGCUGACUGAGAACAUAGGUUGUCGGGUUUCAAGAGAAUUCAUUGUUUGGACCUUAACAUGUGAAUUGGCUGCUACUAUAACAUGAGAAGUUUUAUAAGAAAGAAUUGAUGUUGUGAUGCUAGGAAAAGUGAUUGAAAUUAGCAUUGAUCAAACUUAUGCACUUUGCUAGCAUUCACACUUCAUAAAUUAUUUAUUUUAUCAUUUACCUACUCGAGGACGAGUAGGAAUUAAGCUUGGGGAUGCUGAUACGUCUCCAACGUAUCUAUAAUUUAUGAAGUAUGCAUGCUAAUAUUUUAUCAUUCUUGGAUUUUUACAAUCAUUUUAUAGCAACUUUAUAUCAUUUUUGGGACUAACCUAUUAACCCAGUGCCCAGUGCCAGUUGCUAUUUUUUGCUUGUUUUUUACAUCGCAGGAAAUCAAUAUCAAACAGAGUCCAAACACCGCGUAACUCCUUGGAGAAUUUAUAUCGACCAGAACACCCAGGAUGGGCCAGAGCUGCACCUCGGGGGUGCCCCGAGGGGGCAUAACCCACCAGGGCGCGCCUAUUCCUUUUCUGCAAAACUCUAAAACAGGUAAAAAUAACAGAAACUAGCACUAGGCUCAGGUUAAAAGGUUAGUCCCAAAAAUAAUAGAAAAUAGCAUAUUAAUGCAUAUAAAACAUCCAAACAGUUAAUAUAAGAGCAUGGAACAAUCAAAAAUUAUAGAUACGUUGGAGACGUAUCAAGCAUCACCAACCUUAAUUCCUGCUCGUCCUCAAGUAGGUAAAUGUUAAAACAGAAUUUUUUUAUGAGGAAUGCUACCUAACAUAUUUAUCCAUGCAAUUCUUUUUGUUGUGGCAUGAAUGUUCAGAUCUGUAAGAUUCAAGACAAAAUUUUAAUAUUGACAUAAAAACAAUAAUACUUCAAGCAUAGUAAUAAAGCAAUCAUGUCUUCUCAAAAUAACAUGGCCAAAGAAAGCUAUCCCUACAAAAUCAUAUAGUCUGGUGAUACGUCUCCAACAUAUCUAUAAUUUUUGAUUGUUCCAUGCUAUUAUAUUACCUAUUUUGGACGUUUAUGGGCUUUACUUUACACUUUUAUAUCAUUUUUGGGACUAACCUACUAACAGGAGGCCCAGCCUGAAUUGUUGUUUUUUCCCUAUUUCAGUGUUUCAAAGAAAAGGAAUAUCAAACGGAGUCCAAAUGGGAUGAAACCUUCGAGAGCAAUCUUUUUGGAACAAAUGCAAACCAGGAGACUGGGAGUGGACGUCAAGCAACAAACGAGGCGACCACGAGGGGGUGGGCGCGCCCCCCACCCUCGUGGGCCCCUCGUGGCUCAACCGACAUACUUAUUCCUCCUAUAUAUAUCCACGUACCCUGAAAACAUCCAGGAGCACCACGAAAACCUAAUUCCACCGCCGCAACCAUCUGUAUCCUUGAGAUCCCAUAUUGGAGACUUCGCUGGCGCUCCGCCGGAGGGGGAAUCGACCAUGGAGGGCCUCUACAUAAUUUUCAAGGCCUCUCUGAUGAGUUGUGAAUAGUUUACCACCGACCUUCGGGUCCAUAGUUAUUAGCUAUAUGGCUUCUUCUCUCUCUUUGAAUCUCAAUACAAAGUUCUCCUUGAUCUUCUUGGAGAUCUAUUCGAUGUAACUCUUUUUGUAGUGUGUUUGUCGAGAUCUGAUGAAUUGUGGGUUUAUGAUCAAGUUUAUCUAUGAGAAAUAAUUGAAUCUUCUCUGAAUUAUUUUAUGUGUGAUUGGUUAUCUUUGCAAGUCUUUUCGAAUUAUCAGUUUGAUUUGGCCUACUAGAUUUAUCUUUCUUGCAAUGGGAGAAGUGCUUAGCUUUGGGUUCAACCUUGCGGUGUCCUUUCCCAGUGAGAGCAGGGGCAGCAAGGCAUGUAUUGUAUUGUUGCCAUCGAGGAUAAAAAGAUGGGGUUUAUAUCAUAUUGCAUGAGUUUAUCCCCCUACGUCAUGUCAUCUUUCUUAAUGUGUUACUCUGUUCUUCAUGAACUUAAUACUCUAGAUGCAGGCAGGAGUCAGUUGAUGUGUGGAGUAAUAGUAGUAGAUGCAGAAUCAUUUCGAUCUACUUGUCACGGAUGUGAUGCCUAUAUACAUGAUUAUUCCUAGAUAAUAUCAUAACUAUGCACUUUUCUAUCAAUUGCUCGACAGUAAUUUGUUCACCCACUGUAGUACUUAUGCUAUCUUGGGAGAAGCCACUAGUGAAACCUAUGGCCCCCGGGUCUAUCUUUUAUCAUAUAAGUUUCCCUUCUACUUUUAUUUGCAUCUUUUAUUUUCUAAUCUAUAUCAUAAAAAUACCAAAAAUAUUUAUCUUAUCUUAUUAUCUCUAUAAGAUCUCAGUUUUGCAAGUUACCGUGAAGGGAUUGACAACCCCUUUAUCGCGUUGGUUGCGAGGUUCUUGUUUGUUUGUGUAGGUGUGUGGGACUUUUGAGGAGCCUCCUACUGGAUUGAUAACUUGGUUCUCAUAAAUUGAGGGAAAUACUUACGCUACUUUGCUACAUCACCCUUUCCUCUUCAAGGUAAAACCAACGCAGUGCUCAAGAGGUAGCAAGAAGGAUUUCUGGUGCCGUUGCCGGGGAGGUCUUCGCUCAAGUCAAGAAAUACCAAGUACCCAUCACAAACUCAUCUCCCUCGCAUUGCAUUAUUUGCCAUUUGCCUCUCGUUUUCCUCUCCCCCACUUCACCCUUGCCGUUUUAUUCGCCCUCUCUUUCCCGUUCUCCCCUCUUUUUCGCUUGCCUUUUGUGUGCUCGUGUGUUAGUUCGUUUAUCUCUGCAUUAUGGCUAGUCCUCCUAUCAUCGUUAGUACUCCCGAUCAUGAAGUUCUUAAUUUUAAACAAAGGGAGGGAGAAACUCUAAAAGAUGCUUGGCAUAGAACUUGCAAUGCUCAAAAUAGAUCUACUAGGAAGCAAUCUACUUCUAUUCUUCUUCGUAAUUUUUAUGUAGGCAUUACUCCUUGGAAAAGAUAUAUCCUUGAUACCAUUAUCGGAGGGAAUUUCUUGGGUAGCCAUACUUUUGAUGCUUAUAAUGCUAUGUUGGAUUUGUUUGGUCCACCCCCUCUUUUGGUUAAUGGAACUGUUUUAACUUUGGAACAUGUGAUGAAAAGGCUUGAAAUUAUUGAAAAUAAAGUUUCCACUAUUGACUUAAUUGAAAAUUUGGAUAAAAAGAUCCAUAACCAAAUUACCAAAUAUGGAUAUAGGGUUGGAGUUACUUUGAAAAAAAUUAAGAGAAAGAACCUAUAGUUAAUGAAAGAAUAGAUCUAGAUUCUACAAGAAUUGGUAAACUUGAGGAUAUUAUUACCAACUUAGGGUCUGCCUUUUCAUCUGUGAAAAAUAAUCCAACUCCUCCUACCAAAAUUGCCAAAUUUAUGUAUCUUCCUAAAAAUAAGGGUGAAUCUUCUAGUAAGGAAAAUGUUGAUCUCAAAUCAAUAAGUGUUCAUCCCAAUUUUCUUGCUAUCAUUAAGGAACCUUUUGCUACAAACGAAUUUUUUGAUUUCUUGCCUAGGAUUUUAAUCAUUGCUAAAAAGAAAGAAACUCCUAAGGAUUAUAAGUGCUCUAUUGAAGAAUUGAAUGCCAAAGAUGGCAAUACCUAGAUCUAUUCUCGCUUUUAUGCCUAGCUAGGGGCGUUAAACGAUAGCGCUUGUUGAGAGGCAACCCAAUUUUAUUUUCAUUCCUUGUUUUUUUGCUUCUUUUUAGUAAUAAAUAUUUCAUCUAGCUUCUGUUUAUAUGUGGUUUGAUUUUUUUAAUUAGUGUUUGUGCCAAGUAGAACCUAUAGGAUAACCUACGGUGAUAGUUAAUUUGAUUCUGCUAAAAAGCAGAAACUUUUGCGCGCACGAGAAUAAUUUUAAUAAAUCACAGAAAUGAGAUUUUGCAUUGAUUCUUUUUGCAGUAGAUCAAUAGACAAAUUGUCCAGGACUUACUAUUUUGGUAGGAUGUUUAGAGUUCGAGAAGAAUUUGAAAGUUACAGAUUUCUACAGACUGUUUUAUUUUUGAUAGAUUCUGUUUUUCGUGUGUUGUUUGCUUAUUUUGAUGCAUCUAUGGCUAGUAUCGGGGGGUAUGAACCAUAGAGAAGUUUGAAUACAUUAGGUUUAACAACAAUACAAAUAAAUAAUGAGUUCAUUACAGUACCUUAUGUGGUGGUUUUUCUUUCUUGCACUAACGGAGCUUAUGAUAUUCCCUGUUGAGUUUUGUGUUGUGAAGUUUUCAAGUUUUGGGUAUAGAUUUGAUGGACUAUAGAAUAAGGAGUGGCAAGAGCCCAAGCUUGGGGAUGCCCAUGGCACCCCAAGAUAAUCCAAGGACAACAAAAAGCCUAAGAUUGGGGAUGCCCCGGAAGGCAUCCCCUAUUUCGUCUUCGUUUAUCGGUAACUUUACUUGGAGCUAUAUUUUUAUUCACCACAUGAUAUGUGUUUUGCUUGGAGUGUCUUGUAUGAUAUGAGUCUUUGCUUUUUAGUUUACCACAAUCAUCCUUGCUGUACACACCUUUUGGGAUAGACACACUUGAUUUGGAAUUUAUUAGAAUACUCUAUGUGCUUCACUUAUAUCUUUUGAGCUAGAUAAUUUUUGCUCUAGUGCUUCGAUUAUAUAUUUUAGAGCACGGCGAUGGUUGAAUUUUGUAGAAAUUGUUGAUCUCUCAUGCUUCACUUAUAUUAUUUUGAGAGUCUUUUAGAACAGCAUGGUAUUUUCUAUGGUUAUAAAAUUGGUCCUAGAAUGAUGGGCAUCCAAGUUGGGUAUAAUAAAAACUAUCAUAGGAAGUGAAUUGGAUGCUAUGAUCAAUUUGAUGCUUGAUAAUUGUUUUGAGAUAUGAGGAUGGUGAUAUUAGAGUCAUGCUAGUGGAGUAAUUAUGAAUUUUAGGAAUACUUGUGUUGAAGUUUGUGAUUCCCGUAGCAUGCACGUAUGGUGAACCGCUUUGUGAUGAAGUUGGAGCAUGAUUUAUUUAUUGAUUGUCUUCCUUACGAGUGGUGGUCGGGGAAGAGCGAUGGUCUUUUCCUACCAAUCUAUCCCCCUAGGAGCAUGCGCAUAGUACUUUGUUUUCAAAGACUUGUAGAUUUUUGCAAUAAGUAUAUGAGUUCUUUAUGACUAAUGUUGAGUCCAUGGAUUAUAAGCACUCUCACCCUUCCACCAUUGCUAGCCUCUCUUGUGCCGCGCAACUUUCACCGGUACCAUACACCCACCAUAUACCUUCCUCAAAACAGCCACCAUACCUACCUAUUAUGUCAUUCCAUAGCCAUUCCGAGAUAUAUUGCCAUGCAACUUUCCACCGUUCCGUCUAUUAUGACACGCAUCAUCAUUGUCAUAUUGCUUUUGCAUGAUCAUGUAGUUGACAUUGUAUUUGUGGCAAAGCCACCUUCAUAAUUCUUCCAUACAUGUCACUCUUGGUUCAUUGCAUACCCCGGUAUACCGCCGGAGGCAUUCAUAUAGAGUCAUAUCUUGUUCUAAGUAUUGAGUUGUAAUCUUGACUUGUAAGUAAAUAAAAGUGUGAUGAUCUUCAUUAUUAGAGCAUUGUACCAAGUGAGGACAGGAUGAUGGAGACUAUGAUUCCCCCACAAGUCGGGAUGAGACAUCGGAAUUUAUAAAAAAGAGAAAGGCCAAAUAAAAAGAAGACAAAGGCCAAAUAAAAAAAUGAGAGAAAAAGAGAGAAGGGACAAUGCUACUAUCCUUUUACCACACUUGUGCUUCAAAGUAGCACCAUGAUCUUCAUGAUAGAGAGUCUCCUAUGUUGUCAAUUUCAUAUGCUAGUGGGAAUUUUUCAUUAUAGAACUUGGCUUGUAUAUUCCAAUGAUGGGAUUCCUCAAAACGCCCUAGGUCUUCGUGAGCAAGCAAGUUGGAUGCACACCCACUUAGUUUCUUUUGUUGAGCUUUCAUACAUUUAUAGCUCUAGUGCAUCUGUUGCAUGGCAAUCCCUACUCACUCACAUUGAUAUCUAUUAAUGGGCAUCUCCAUUGACCGUUGAUAUGCCUAGUUGAUGUGAGACUGUCUUCUCCUUUUUUGUCUUCUCCAAAACCACCAUUCUAUUCCACAUAUAGUGUUAUGUCCAUGGCUCACGCUCAUGUAUUGCGUGAAAAUUGAAAAAGUUUGAGAAUACUAAAGUAUGAAACAAUUGCUUGGCUUGUCAUUGGGGUUGUGCAUGAUUAAAUACUUUGUGUGAUGAAGAUAGAGCAUAGCCAGACUAUAUGAUUUUGUAGGGAUAGCUUUCUUUAGCCAUGUUAUUUUGAGAAGACAUGAUUGCUUUGUUAGUAUGCUUGAAGUAUUAUUGUUUUCAUGCCAACAUGAACUUUUAUUUUAAAUCAUUUGGAUCUGAACAUUCAUGCCACAAUAAAGAAAAUUACAUUGAGAAUUAUGCUAGGUAGCAUUCCACAUCAAAAAUUCUAUUUUUAUCAUUUACCUACUUGAGGACGAGCAGGAAUUAAGCUUGGGGAUGCUUGAUACGUCUCCAACGUAUCUGUAAUUUUUGAUUGUUCCAUGCUAUUAUAUUACCUGUUUUGGAUGUUUAUGGCCUUUACUUUACAAUUUUAUAUCAUUUUUGGGACUAACCUACUAACUAGAGGCCACUUUUAUAUCAUUUUUGGGACUUACCUACUAACCGGAGGCCCAGCCCGAAUUGCUGUGUUUUUGCCUAUUUUAGUGUUUCGAAGAAAAGGAAUAUCAAACGGAGUCCAAAUGGGAUGAAACCUUCGGGAGCGAUCUUUUUGGAACAAAUGCAAACCAAGAGACUUGGAGUGGACGUCAAGCAACAAACAAGGCGGCCACGAGGGUGCCCAGCGCGCCCCCACCCUCGUGGGCCCCUCAUGGCUCAACCGACAUACUUCUUCCUCCUAUAUAUAUCCACGUACCCUGAAAACAUCCAGGGGCACCAUGAAAACCAAAUUCCACCGUCGCAACCUUCUGUAUCCACGAGAUCCCAUCUUGGAGCCUUCGUCGGUGCUCCGCUGGAGGGGGAAUCGACCAUGGAGGGCCUCUACAUCAUCUCCAAGGCCUCUCCGAUGAGUUGUGGGUAGUUUACCAUAGACCUUCGGGUCCAUAGUUAUUAGCUAGAUGUCUUCUUCUCUCUCUUUGAAUCUCAAUACAAAGUUCUCCUCGAUCUUCUUGGAGAUCUAUUCGAUGUAACUCUUUUUGCGGUGUGUUUGUCGAGAUCCGAUGAAUUGUGGGUUUAUGAUCAAGUUUACCUAUGAGAAAUAAUUGAAUCUUCUCUAAAUUCUUUUAUGUGUGAUUGGUUAUCUUUGCAAGUCUCUUCGAAUUAUCAGUUUGGUUUGGACUACUAGAUUGAUCUUUCUUGCAAUGGGAGAAGUGCUUAGCUUUGGGUUCAAUCUUGUGGUGUCCUUUCCCAGUGACGGCAGGGGCAGCAAGGCACGUAUUGUAUUGUUGCCAUCGAGGAUAAAAAUAUGGGGUUUAUAUCAUAUUGCAUGAGUUUAUCCCUCUACAUCAUGUCAUCUUUCUUAAUGUGUUACUCUGUUCUUCAUGAACUUAAUACUCUAGAUGCAGGCAGGAGUCGGUGGAUGUGUGGAGUAAUAGUAGUAGAUGCAUAAUCGUUUCGAUCUACUUGUCACGGAUGUGAUGCCUAUAUACAUGAUCAUGCCUAGAUAAUCCCAUAACUAUGCGCUUUUCUAUCAAUUGCUCGACAGUAAUUUGUUCACCCACCGUAAUACUUAUGCUAUCUUGAGAGAAGCCACUAGUGAAACCUUAUGGCCCCCGGGUCUAUCUUUUAUCAUAUAAGUUUCCCAUCUACUUUUAUUUGCAUCUUUUAUUUUCCAAUCUAUAUCAUAAAAAUACCAAAAAUAUUUAUCUUAUCCUAUUAUCUCUAUCAGAUCUCACUUUCGCAAGUUACCGUGAAGGGAUUGACAACCCCUUUAUCGCGUUGGUUGCGAGGUUCUUGUUUGUUUGUGUAGGCACGUGGGACUUUUGAGGAGCCUCCUACUGGAUUGAUACCUUGGUUCUCAUAAACUGAGGGAAAUACUUAUGCUACUUUGGUGCAUCACCCUUUCCUCUUCAAGGGAAAACCAACACGGUGCUCAAGAGGUAGUAUCUGGCUAUGCUCUAUCUUCAUCACACAAAAUAUUUAAAUCAUGCACAACCCCGAUGACAGGCCAAGCAAUUGUUUCGUACUUUUUAUGUUCUCAAACUUUUUCAAUUUUCACGCAAUUCAUGAGCGUGAGCCAUGGAUAUAGCACUAUGGUGGCAGAGAAUAUGGUGGUUGUGGAGAAGACAAAAAGGGGACGAUAGUCUCACAUCAACUAGGUGUAUCAACGGGCUAUGGAGAUGCCCAUUAAUAGAUAUCAAUGUGAGUGAGUAAGGAUUACCAUGUAACGGAUGCACUAGAGCUAUAAGUGUAUGAAACCUCAAAAAGAAACUAAGUGGGUGUGCAUCCAACUCGCUUGCUCAUGAAUACCUAGGGCAAUUUGAGGAAUCCCAUCAUUGGAAUACACAAGCCAAGUUCUAUAAUGAAAAAUCCCCACUAGUAUAUGAAAGUGAUAUCAUAGGAGACUCUCUAUCAUGAAGAUCAUGGUGCUACUUUGAAGCACAAGUGUGGUAAAAGGACAGUAACAUUGCCCCUUCUCUCUUUUUCUCUCAUUUUUUGGGCCUUUCUCUUUCUUUAUAGCCUCUUUUUUCCGUAUGGAGUCUCAUCCCGACUUGUGGAGGAAUCAUAGCCUCCAUCAUCCUUUCCUCACAUGGGACAAUUCUCUAAUAAUGAAGAUCAUCACACUUUUAUUUACUUACAACUCAAGAAUUACAACCCAAUACUUAGAAAAAAAUAUGACUCUAUGUGAAUACCUUCGGUGGUGUACCGGUGUGUGCAAUGAUUCAAGAGUGACAUAUAUGAAAGAAUUAUGAACGGUGGCUUGGCCACAAAUAUGAUGUCAACUACAUGAUCAUGCAAAGCAAUAUGACAAUGAUGAAGCGUGUCAUAACAAACAGAACGGUGGAAAAUUGCAUGGCAAUAUAUCUCGGAAUGGCUAUGGAAAUUCCAUAAUAGGUAGGUAUGGUGGCUGUUUUGAGGAAGGUAUACGGUGGGUGUAUGGUACCGGCGAGAGUUGCACGGCACAAGAGAGGCUAGCAAUGGCGGAAGGGUGAGAGUGCGUAUAAUCCAUGGACCCAACAUUAGUCAUAAAGAACUCACAUGCUUAUUGCAAAAAUCUAUUAUUUAUCAAAACGAAGUACUACGGGCAUGCUCCUAGCGGGAUAGAUUGGUAGGAAAAUACCAUCGCUCGUCCCCGACCGCCACUCAUAAGUAAGACAAUCAAAAAAUAAAUCAUGCUCCGACUUCAUCACAUAACGGUUCACCAUACGUGCAUGCUAUGGAAAUCACAAACUUUAGCACAAUUAUCUCUCAAAUUCACAACUACUCACUAGCAUGACUCUAAUAUCACCAUCUUCAUAUCUCAAAACAAUCAUAAAGAAUCAAACUUCUCAUAGUACUCAAUGCACUUUAUAUGAAAGUUUUUAUUAUAUCCUUCUUGGAUGUCUAUCAUAUUAGGACUAAAUUUAUAACCAAAGCAAAUUACCAUGUUGUUCUAAAAGACUCUCAAAAUAAUAUAAGUGAAGCAUGAGAGUUCAUAAAUUUCUAUAAAAUAAAGCCUCCGUCAUGCUCUAAAAAGAUAUAAGUGAAGCACUAGAGCAAUAUUGCCCUCCUCCAAAUAUAUAAGUGAAGCACAUGGAGUAAUCUAAUAAAUCACGAUUCAAGUGUGUCUCUCCCAAAAGGUGUGUACAGCAAGGAUGAUUAUGGUCAACUAAAAGCAAAGACUCAAAUCAUACAAGAUGCUCCAAGCAAAACACAUAUCAUGUGGUCAAUAGAAAUGCAGCCUCAAGUAAAGUUACCGAUAGAAGAAGACGAAAGAGGGGAUGCCUUCCGGGGCAUCCCCAAGCUUAGGCUUUUGGGUUUUCUUGAAUAUUACCUUGGGGUGCCUUGGGCAUCCCCAAUCUUAGGCUCUUGCCACUCCUUAUUCCAUAGUCCAUCAAAUCCUUACCCAAAACUUGAAAACUUCAAAAAACAAAACUCAACAGAAAAUCUCAUAAGCUCCGUUAGUAUCAGAAAAUAAAUUAUCACUUCAAGGUACUUUUCAAAAGUAGUUAUUUAUUUAUAUUGGUGUAAUAUCUACUGUAUUCCAACUUUUCCAUGGUUCAUACCCCCGAUACUACCCUUAGAUUCAUCAAAAGGCAAACAACACAUAGAAAACAGAAUCUGUCAAAAACAGAACAGUCUGUAGUAAUAUGUAACUCUUGAAUACUUAUGUAACUCCAAAAAUUCUGAAAAAAUAGGAAAAACCUGAGAAAUUUGUGUACCAAUCCAAAGCAAAAAGAAUCAGAUCAAAAGCAGGUUUCAAUAAAAUUCUGGAAAUUAUUUACUGGGUGCAAAAGUUUCUGUUUUUCAGCAGGAUCAACACAACUAAUACCGUACGCUAUCCUAAAGGUUUAACUUGGCACAAACACUCAUUAAAACACAAAACCACAUCUAAACAAAGACUAGAUGAAUUAUUUAUUACUAAAAAGGAACAAAAGUCAAAGAACAAAAAUAAAAUUGGGUUGCCUCCCAACAAGCGCUAUUGUUUAACGCCCUUAGCUAGGCAUAAAACACGAAUAGAUCUAGGUGUUGUCAUCUUUGGUAUGCAAUCCAUAAGUGGCUCUCAUAAUAGAUUCAUAUGGCAACUUAAUUUUAUUUCUAGAAAGUGUUCCAUGCCUUUCCUUAACGGAAAGUGAAAUCUAAUGUGGUGUUCCAUGCCUUUCCUUAACGGAAAUUGAAAUCUAAUGUUUCCUUCAUUCAUAUCAAUAAUUUCACCAACGUUCUAAGGAAAGGUCUACCAAGAAUAAUAGGACACGUAGGAUUGCAAUCUAUAUCAAGACCAAUGAAAUCUACGGGCACAUAAUUCCUAUUUGCAAAAAUAAGAACAUCGUAAAUCCUUCCCAUAGGUUUCUUAAUAGUGGAAUCCGCAAGAUGCAAAUUUAAAGAACAAUCGUCAAAUUCACGGAAACCUAAGACAUCACACGAAGUUUUUGGAAUCGUGGAAACGCUAGCACCCAAAUCACACAAAGCAUGGCACUCAUAAUCCUUAAUCUUAAUCUUAAUAGUAGGUUUCCACUCAUCAUAAAGUUUUUUAGGGAUAUAAACUUCCAAUUCAAGCUUUUCUUCAAAGGAUUGCAUCAUAGCAUGGACGAUAUGUUUAGUAAAAGCUUUGUUUUGAUUAUAGGCAUGAGGAGAAUUUAACAUGGAUUGCAACAAGGAAAUAGAAUCUAUUAAAGGAUAAUUAUCAUAAUUAAGUUCCUUGAAAUCCAAAAGAGUGGGUUCAUUUCUACUUAAAGUCUUGACCUCUCCAAUCUCACUUUUAUCAAUUUUUUCAUCUAGAUCUAAAAAUUCCGAAUCAUUGGGACGCAUUUUAACUAAAGUUGGCUCAUCUCCAGUCCCAUCUUCAUCAAGAUUUAUAUUGGAAAUAAAAGAUUCAAUAGGAGUCACAUUAAUCACUUUUAGAUCUUCAUGAUUAUUAUCAGAUUCUGGUUUAGCGGCCAUUUUAUUUACUAAGGUAGCUUGUUUAUCAGAAAUUUGGCCUAAAAUUUUCAAGAUGAGCAAAUUGAGAUUUUAGACCAUAAAAUUCCUUAGACAUAUCAUUGAGCUCUUUAUUCAUAUACUCCAUAAAACUUUUUUGUUCUUUAAGUUCGUUUCUGAAGAAACUAAUAUGCUCAAAUUGUAAAGACAUAAAGCUUCUAACAUCUUUUCAAUUUCUUCCAACCUCCUGAGGUGAGGAUCAACACUUUUUGGUUGCACCAUAAAGGCACACCCACACACAAGUACACAAAAAGCAAGCAAAGAAGACGAAUGGAAGAGGGGCGAAGAAAAGGCAAAUCUUUUCGAAAAUUGUUUUAGAGGUGGGGGGAAGGAAAACGAGAGGUGAAUGGCGAAUAAUUUAAUGCAAGAGAUGAGAAUUUAUGAUGGGUACUUGGUAUGUCUUGACUUGACGUAUAUCUCCUCGGCAACGGCGCCAGAAAUUCUUCCUGCUACUUCUUGAGCUUGCGUUGGUUUUUCCCUUGAAUAGGAAAGGGUGAUGCAGCAAAGUAUAGUAAGUAUUUCCCUCAGUUUGAGAACCAAGAUAUCAAUCCAGUAGGAGACAGCGCAUAAGUCACCGAAUACAUGCACAAACAAUCAACAAACUUGCACCCAACGCGAUAAAGGGGUUGUCAAUCCCUUCACGGUUACUUACAAAAGUGAGAUCUGAUAGAGAUAGAUAAACGGUAAAGUAAAUAUUUUUGGAAUUUUUGGUUUAUAGAUCGGAAAAUAAAAUAUUUCAAAAUAGUAGAUCAGAAACUAAUAUGAUGGAAAAGAGACUUAAUAUGAUGGAAAAUAGACCCGGGGGCCAUAGGUUUCACUAGUGACUUCUCUCAAGAUAGCAAAUAAUACGGUGGGUGAACAAAUUACUGCCGAGCAAUUGAUAGAAGAGCGCAUAAUUAUGACGAUAUCUAAGGCAAUGAUCAUGAACAUAGGCAUCACGUCCGUGUCAAGUAGACCGAAACAAUUCUGCAUCUACUAGUAUUACUCCACACAUCGACCAACUCCUGCCUGCAUCUAGAGUAUUAAGUUCAUAAAGAACAGAGUAAUGCAUUAAGUAAGAUGACAUGAUUUAGAGAAAUUAACUCAAGCAAUAUGAUGAAAACCCCAUCUUUUUGUCCUCGAUGGCAACAAUACUAUACGUGUCUUGCUGCCCCUACUGUCACAGGGAAAGGACACCGCAAGAUUGAACCCAAAGCUAAGCACUUCUCCCAUUGCAAGAAAAACCAAUCUAGUAGGCCAAACUAAACCGAUAAUUCGAAGAGACUUGCAAGGAUAUCAAAUCAUGCAUAUAAGAAUUCAGAGAAGAUCACUACAACAAGAACCCCCCUAUAGCAACACAUGAUUUGCACGCUCUAAGAAUGUGUUGUAAGGUAUCUGCUAUAGCAAUGCAUAUAUGUGUUGGUAAACCAUACGUUGCUUACCGUGCAUACAACAACGGUUACUUUGUGUUGCAGUUGUGCGUUGCAAAAAAAAUUAGCUUUGCGUUGCCAUUUUUAAAUAGUCCGUAUUGCAUAUUUAUUAUUUUAUUAUUACCUGGAUUUUUAUUUAAUUAUUAAUGGAAAAAGAUUAUUAUUUCAUUAUUACAUGGAUUAUUAUUUAAUUAUUAAUGGAAAAGAAAAAGGGGCUACAGAAUCCUCGAACCGGCCAUCUCACUGUUAAUAAGGGAGUAACAAAGGAAUAUUUAUUUCUGAGCUCGGGCUCAGAUGCUCCUGAAAUCAACGCCGUACAUUCGCAUGUGGAUAUGUGCAUGCUGACGUAUUCUCUUCUUGUAUAUAUCAUGUAUCGUACUAAAAUAAGGCCAGCGCAGGCCCGCAUUGAUUGCAAUGACAACUGGUACGUAGUUGCGGACCAAGGGAGCUCCUAUUCAGCGCCGGCCAAGCCAACCGACGCCUACUGACAGUGCCAAGUGGUUCGGCCCACAGACGAAGCGAGCAGUCUCGCGAAAAAAGAAGGCAACAAUAUGAUAGAACCAUGACUUGAACUCACGCCGCUAAACAGCCGGAUUUUUCACCUAACCACUACACCAUCGGAUGACUAGUGAUUGAAACCAAGCGCGACACUACAAGAAAUAUGUUAAUCCAUGAUGGACAGGAGCCGUCAUAGGUGGGUGCAAAACUGUCAAGGAUGGACGUCCAUGACGGAUUCGAAAUCCGUCAUGUAUAUCGCGUCAUAAUUUCACCACCGUGCACUUCAUGACAGUUAUGCACCGUCACAGAUGGUAUACUGUUAACGGCGUUAACAUGCAUGCCACAUCAUCAUCUGACAUGGGAGCCAAUGUGGGUCUGACAUGGGUCCAUAAGGUUAUCAGCCCAAUUAGUAUUCUGGCCCAAUAUUUUGGUUUUGGCCUAUGUGAAGAUUGGCCCAAUUGGGGUUAUGGGCCACUAAUUUUAGUUGUGGCCCGUAUUGCAACCGGCCCAAUAAUCUCAGCUCAAGCUGAUAUGUCUUCAGCCCACUAUUCUAUAAUUGUGAUCCAUUAAAAAUUUAGUCACAUAAGUUAUUUUAUUAAUACUUUCUAUAAUACUAUCAUUCAACAGAAAUACAAUUCCCGUCAAAAAAGAAAAAGAGAUACAACUGACAAAAAGACAAAUGACACCAAAAGCAAAAUGCGCCCCAAAAUAAAAUUUACAAAUUACUCCUAAAGCACUUGCUAGAGAUCGGCCAGCGCUCACGGGAGAUCUUGCGCACUCCAUCUGGAUGGUACCCCCACCGUCCGUGUACACUAAAAAUAAGCAGCGGUGGAUGAGGAUGACGAGCAUGCAUGUCACUGCCCCUAUGCCCUUGACCUCCAGCACGCACGGUGGGUGCGGAAAACGCUGACCAGUGACGGCAUCCACCACCGUAGUCCAGAACGCUGACCGCCGCCAGUCGGAAAUAGGAGCCCAUCGCAGCGAACCCUCGAUGGGAGGGGCCACCACCACACAGAUCUCCGCGACGGGUCAACACAUCUCCUCGGCGUCGGGUCAACGCAUCCCCACACCUCUGGUGGCCCAGCGCAGCACUGCCGGUUGUUGGGGACGGUCUGCACUUCAUGGCGGCCGUCCUUGCCUUGCUACAGCCUCGGAGCUCCUAUACCUGCAACACCAGGGGAAUUAAAUGGAGAAUGGCGGCGGAGGUCAAGAGGAGCAGGGGCUGGGUAUUAAUGAAUCGAUUUUGACGCAGACGAGGACGAGGGUGGCCUCGGCGCAGAUGACCUCGGGCUCACCGGAGAAGUUUUCCUCCUGGAGGCCGGCACGAUGGACAGAAAAGGAGGAGCGCCCGAUAGGUCGACGAGCAUAAGGAUGCCUCGACGGGUCGGCCCUCGGUCGUGGUCGCGUUUCGGAACGCCGAGAUGCGCGCAGCCAGAUGGGAGGAAGGAAGGUACUGGGAGAAGAGGCUGGAAGGAAUGGCGGCUGGUUUCUCGGCGGAAGAGGAGCCCGUGGUUGCGGGGGUAGGGGAGAAAGAAGAUAGGAUAGGGGUUGUACGCCAUCCGUCCGAUCUUGGCAAAUCGAACGGUUAAAAUUUGUGAUCCGUGGGCAGGAUGGUUCGACCAAUCAGAAGACACGGUUUCACUCACGUAGGAUCGCCCCUCGGCUGAGCGCUAUAAUGGGCCUUUUCUGCUUUCAGCCCAACAAUGUGUAACUUGUACAUUAGUUUCGUAU
RNAcentral lists this long non-coding RNA (48865 nucleotides) under Triticum aestivum (bread wheat). RNAcentral describes it as "long non-coding RNA (TAES_LNC023144)". Lineage: Eukaryota; Viridiplantae; Streptophyta; Magnoliopsida; Poales; Poaceae. The record is from RNAcentral.